UUAUAAUUUUAUACUCACUUCACAGUUUAACGUUAACUCACAUGCAGACAUUAUAGAAUAUUAUACUAAAAACAUAAGGUGACAAAAAAUUUAUCGAGAAUCUCACUUUUAAUAAAAUACCCUUAUAGUUUCUCGAUCAAAAAAUAUUUAUCUUUUAGAUGACAAUCUUUUAAAAAGCAAAAUGCUAAAGUGGAGGUGAUGAAACAAUAGAUAUCACCAAUAAUUGUAUUGGGUUAAAUUGCUACCUAUUGCAAUUAGUGGGCGUCCUUGGGUUUGAGUAAGGAUGCAACUUGGCUGCUGAAAACUCCUGCAGACACCCAAUUACAUUUAAACACAUGUUCAAUUUGUGUUUAUACUUUUAACUCACAUGCAGACAUUAUAGAAUAUUAUACUAAAAACAUGAGGUAACAAAAAAUCUAUCGAGAAUCUCAUUUUUAAUAAAAUACCCUUAUAGUUUCUCGAUCAAAAAAUAUUUAUCUUUUAUAUGACAAUUUUUUAAAAAGCAAAAUGCUAAAGUGGAGGUGAUGAAACAAUAGAUAUCACCAAUAAUUGUAUUGGGUUAAAUUGCUAACUAUUGCAAUUAGUGGGCGUCCUUGGGUUUGAGUAAGGAUGCAACUUGGCUGCUGAAAACUCCUGCAGACACCCAAUUACAUUUAAACACAUGUUCAAUUUGUUUUUAUACUUUUAAUUAUUUAGACACAUGUUCAAAUAUAAUUGGAUAUUAACAGGAGUGGCUGUUAAACUUCCAGCAGCCAAUUAGUAUUGUUUGAGUAAUUACUUGGCCAUAUGCCAUGGAUGGUGAAGUAUGGUAAUGGUUGGUGAUUGGGUCUAUUUUAUUCUUCUAAGACCAACUCUAACCUUGGAGUAAAACCUAUAAUUUCCCUUCUAUUCCCCCCCCCAUUAAAACCUAUAAUUUCCCUUCUAUUCCCCCCCCCCCAUUCGAUUCCAACCCGAGUUCUAACCAGAAAAAAUGCCAGAUUCCGACCAGGAAAUAGCCUAAAGAAACGUGUGGGGCCCACUAGUGAGAGUGGAAAUGGGCGCUUGAACGCCAGACGCAAAGGUUGGACGCGAGCAACGCGCCAAGGGCAGGCAACGACAUGGCCCCACCCACAAGGUCAUGUUGGCCACUUGCAUCAACAUGUAACAACUACUUUUUUGAUUGAACGGCUUGAAUCAAUUGAGUUGUUGGUUGAUCCAACGGUCUACAUUCAAUUUUUUUUUUUAGUUUUAUAUUUAUAUAUUUAUUGAAUCCAACAGCUGAGAUCGAAUAUAAUCAAAUCUAACGGCAAAAAAAAUAUCUAACAACUAAAAUUGCAUAAGCGAGAUUCGGCAUGGUGCUCAUAUUGCAUAAGCGAGUUUGCAAAUUCAGCUUCUUCGUUGUUCAUUUCUGCAUCCGCAGUUGCAAGGCUUGCUUGGUAUUGUGCCGUCUGCAUUGCCAAGCUACGCCUUCUUCUAUCACCCAUUGGUGAGAUAUUGAUGAUUUUGAGGAAACAAAAACUGUAACAACCCGUCCCGAUUUUAUCGGAACAAGGGGGUAUUUUCGUGAAAUUUCACUUUGGGCUAGAUCUUCUUCUUUUAAAAUUGGUUUUUGGGUCUUAAUUGAUGAGCCCAAGGGGCCCACCCCCUAUUUUGUCCCCCGGUUCCCUUUCCAUUUUCUUUUAUUUUUCUGAAAAGUCUUUCUCUCUCUUCUCUCUUCUCCCUCACUAUCCCUUAGGGGUGGGUUCAAAAAAUCGAAAACCGAAAAAAACCGAAAACUGAACCUGACCGAGGCUGAAAAAAAUCGAACUGAAACUGUCAAACCGAACGUAUAUAUAUAUAUAUAUAUAUAUAUAUAUAUAAUUAUUUUUUUCAAUAUUUAUAAAUAGUCAUACAAUCAUAACAAAACAGAAUCCGUUGCCAAGUCGGUUUUAGUGAAACUUUUCAAGUUGGAGCGCUUGGGUUCGAAUCCUAUGCCUCCAGGAUCUUGGAGAAUUAUUUUAAUUUUGUUGAGAAAUCAACAAAACCCUUUAACCCUAGCCACUAGUAGCAGCCACACAUUUUCUAUGUUUCAUUCCCUUAUUCUCUCUCUCGUUCACUAAGACUGACUUCUCUUCAGUCUGAAACCCUAAACAGAUCGAUCGAUCCAUUCCCUUCCCUUUCCCUUAUCCCUGUCCUCUGUACUCUCACUCUGGACCAUCUCCUUCCCAGCUCCGUAGUUCUUCCGCUUUGUCUUCUUCAUGCCAAUGCCAUCUCACUCUCAGUCUCUCACCCCUGUGACCCGUGACCCGCGCGCGACCUAUGACUUCCUCUCACCAUUUCGAGUCUCGAGUCUCGACCCACAAAUUCCCUCAUUUGCAAGGUUAGUCUAUCACCUAGUUACCCCCGUAAUGCGUUUUGCAGAUUUCUUUUUUUCAAUUUCAUUGGUUCUGAUCUGUAGCUUUUCAAUUUCAUGGAUUUAUUGGUAAAGAAGUAGCAUGAAAGUUUAGAUCUUGAAAGGUUUUCAUAUUAUAUAAAUGGCAAAGAAAUAUAUUCAAAGGUCUUCCAUGUUUUUUUUUUUGGUAUUAACGGGUGAUUUUUUUCUUUUGGGGUUUGGUGUUUUUGAUGGUGUCUAAGUUGGGUUGCUGUUAAAAUCUGAGAAAUGAGAAUUACGAUGUGAUUCAGGACUAGUUUGAAGUGUGGAUUUGCGGUUACUUUGGGACGAAAAACCGCGAAAAGUAUGAGUUUCUGAUUGACUUUGCGAAUGCAGGAGCAAAUUGGAUAUAUGGAGUGUUGGGAGGAUGGUAGAAUGGAGACCUUGCAAGUUGUGGCUAUAAGGGCACCUCACUGGUACAUUCCAACUUAUUUUGCUUCCAUUGCAUUUGGCUGUGAUUGAUGGGAAUAGAAUUAGGAUUGAGGUGAGGUUACUAUAUAGUUUUUGAUAUUCGGAGUCAGUUCCCUUAAUUAACUAUCAUUGCAGACAAUUGCAUUGGUUUUCUGCAGCUCUGCCAUCAAAGAGUAAUGGAUUCAUUCGAGUGGAUUGCUAUGAGGGCCUUAAUCAGAUGAGAAGAGAUGUGAGUGAUCAAAGCAACUUUGUGAUUGCUUGUAUAUAUGCUCAAUUUUAUAUUGCCAAGUUGCUAAGCCUGAAAAUUUAUUUAUGUGGAGUGCAUUUAUGUGAUGGUGUUGGUAUUGCCCAUCUUUUAAAUGCAACCCUGGUUCUGCCAAAGUUUGAGGUGGUUCAACCAUAUUCGUGUUUUACAUAUCAUAUACCCGUGAAGUCUGGAAUAUAAAUAUGUUCUUAUAAUUAUGUUAAUGGCAUCAGAAAACUUAAUUAUAAAUAUGUUCUUAUAAUAUUGUGAGGACCAUAUGGAGUCAUUAUGGUAGCUAAUGGUUUCAUGACAAUAUAUAUAUAUAUAUAUAUAUAUAUAUAUAUAUAUAUAUAUAUGUUCUGUAUCCGUAGUCUUUGAUCCUUAUAAUAUUGUGAGGACCAUAUGGAGUCAUUAUCUGUUAUCUGUAAUCCUUAUUUUUUGAUGCUGAUAUCUUUUCAAAAGUUCAUAUAUACUCAAUAUUUUAAAGUUGUUUUUCAGUUCGGUUUAUUAUGUGCAUCCGUAGCUUUUGCAUGUGCAUCCUACCUUUGCUUAUUAUAUGUUUUGUAUCUUAAUUAGAUGAAGUCAAGUGCAUCAAAGGCCUCGAGCUCAAGCUCAAACUCAACGAGAUCAUCAAAUUUGGACUUUGUGCAUCCUACCUUGAAGGUUUAUUUGACUUGUGUGAUGUUUAUUUUAAAUUUGGACUUUGGAAGAUUUGAUUGAUGAUUCUAGUUGAACUUUAAAUGUUUAUUUUCAUUGUCUUUGAUUCUAGUUGGAAUUCUUAUGUUAUGAUUGUGUUGGAAAUGUUGAGUUUUCUUUAUAAAAUAAAUUAGAGUUACAGUGGAAUAAGAGGGAUGGCGGAGAUGGCUGAUUCGCUAUGGCUUCUGAACAAGAAGAUUGAAAGGGUGGCAUGGGUGGGUGGGGGUUGGCUGGUUGGGGAAGUUGAAAAGUUUCUGGGGUUGAGUUUAUUUAUUUAAUCAUGUUUAAAUUAGUUUUAAAAAUUAAAAAAGAUAUAUUAAUUAACAAGUUUACUAGGGUUAGAAGAUGGGACAUAUGACAACUAAUAAGGUGUAUGGUGAGUAUACACCAGUUAAUGUGGGUGAGCAAAAAUGCACCCAAACAGAAAUAGCAAAUAAAAGAAAGAAACAAUAAAAUAAAGUAUAAAAUAACAAAGAAAACAGAAAAUAAAAGAAAAGACAAGGAAACGGACACACCUGAGAUUCGAAGUGGUGACCUGGUGCAAGGAGAAUAUGCGCUAGAAAAAUAAUGAAAAAGAAAGCACCAAUUCACUGCUUUGGAGACUCGAACCCGUGGCCUGAAGGAAACGAGGAGCGCUGAUGCUAAUGCGAAGCUCCACCCGUGUAGUGUUCACGUGACAAAACCUUAACAGCUCCUAGUAUAAAUUAAGUUUUAGCAUUCCAUUUCUCCCUUGCUUUCUAGCAUUUUCACCUUGAGCCCAUAGCCGUGAGGGUUCUCUCCAUCUUGCUCUCAAACCUUAGCCUAUCUAAACUUCAAUUCUCUACCAUCAUCACAAAAUCAAAACUACGGCGGACCUCUCGAAUCAAAAAUGACCCCAACCAUCAGAUUGUACUGCCGCCAUGGAAAUGUCGACACUUCCGAGGCUCAGAAAUUCGAAAUCCCAGCAAUCAUAAAGGUAAUUGUUCUUCCCCGUAUAUCUGAUUUUCGUGAGCGUUCUUCAAAGUGUAGGUCAGAAAGAAAACAAGGAAAAAUUAUCUCAUGCAUGUGUGCUAUCUGUGCAGGAGUCCUGGAUCUGUGAAACCAGUGACGGAACCAGGAAUUGACAGGAGGAUAGGCGAAGUUAAAAGAGUGCAAGGUUCAAAAGAAUAGUAACAACCAAAUCCUUUAUAUAGUAAUGUCUUUCAUAAUUUAUCAAUACAAACAAAUUACAAUUAUUGCCGACGAGGUUUCAUAUCAUGAAAACGCCGCAUAAUAGGCUCAUUAUCAAUAAAAGCAAAUACAUCUCUCUCAAUGUAAACAAGCAUGCUAUCACUCAACUAUUGAUCUCCCAUUUUGUUACACAAUGGUGUUUUCACAAUUUUCAUAGCAGAAAAAGCUCUCUCCACCGAAGCGGUUGCAACUGGUAACAUCAAAGCCAAUGUAAGAAGCUUAUACACUAACAUAUAGCUUGCAUACCUCCCGAUCUUCACCAACUCCUUUGCAAGAUCACCAAUUCAUCUUAAUGAUGAAAACUCACUAUGCAUCUUCAUAUCGUGAAUGUAAUUGUCAAGUUGAAUUGGAAGAUUCAUGAGGUCCAUACAAUCAAAAUCUUGAGAAUAAAGUUGGGCUAGACGAACACUUUUUGCUUUGUCAAAAUAUGCAAAAUUAUUCACUGGACUCAAACAUGCCAUACAAAGAAGCAAUUCGGUGUUUACCUCAUUGAAGCUAUCAUUCAAUUCCUUUAAUUGUGUAUCAAGGACUUGAAAAUAGAGGUCCAUAUGAUAGUAAUGGAAGUUUAUGAGUCUUAGAGCUUUACGUCUUGAUUUUCCGGGUACAAAACGCAAAUCCUCCAUGUUAGGAACAACAAUAUCAUGCUCUUGACAAAACUUUUGUACAUCAUCAAGCAAGUCUCCAAAGUCAUCAUCUCUCAAGGAUUGUAGUCUUUGCUUGCAUACUUCCACUAACGCCAUCGCAUUCACAAUAUCUUGAUCUUUCUUUUGUAAUGUUUGUGAUAACUCAUUUGUAAUUUCCAAUAUGAAUCUCAUAAAAAAAAGGUGAAACACAAAAUCAAAAGUUUGUAUGUCAUGGAAUAACUUACUUACUUCACCAAAAUUGUCUUGGUUGGUAUCAUCCUUAAUCCAUUCAAGCACCACCACCACAGCUUCAAACAUGACAAUAAUACUAACUAUAAUACCAUAAUGUGAGUUCCAACGUGUAUCACAAGGAUGCAUGAGACUAAUCUCUUGAUUUAACCCUCUACCCGUUUCAAGAUCACCAAUAUCAAGAGCUUUCUUAAUUUGUUCUAGUUGUUUCUCUCUAAAUGCAUCACGACGCUUACACGAUGAUCCAAUAAUAUUGACCAAAAUACUAGCAUUGUUGAAGAAAAUGGCGACACCCUCAAUUCCCUUUGCAACGGCUACAAGAGCUAGUUGAAGUUGGUGUGCAAAACAAUGAACAUAAAAUGCUUGAGGAUACUUGUUCAAAAUAUUUGCUUUAAGGCCAUUUUGUUCUCCUUUCAUAUUACUAGCUCCAUCAUAGCCCUGUUCCCGUAACUUAGACAUACUCAAAUUUGUUGAAGCAAAUAAUCUCUCAAUGGUCUCUUCAAGCAAGCUACUAGUUGUAGAGGAGACAUGUUGCACACCCAAAAACCUUUUAAUUACUUUUCGUUCCUUGUUCACAUAACGCAAUACCACCGCCAUUUUCUCUUUAGUUGAAGAAUCACAUGAUCUAUCAACCAAAAGAAAAAAAAAUGUACCUUCUAUAUCUUUAGUAAUUGCACCAAUAGUUUCAAUGGCACAUGCACGGACAAGAUCUUUUUGAAUAUCGGAAGAAGUAUACUUGAGAUUCUUGAACAUGUGUGCGCGAAGCACCAGCGAAUCGACACUCGAGAGAUUGCCAGAGAGAUCGAGAAUCCUCCAUACCAACCGUCAAAGGUAGCAAAUCUUCAGACAUAGUAGAAUUAAUCCAAAUCAUCAAGAUUUGAUCUCGCUUACACUAGAUUUCAUAAGCAACGUUGAGAACUCGAGAUCCGGCUGAAUCAAGAAAAAAUUGAGGAGGACAUAGAUCUUUGCCAUUUACAAGCCCUAACAGCUUGAAUUUCUUCAAAACAGGAAGAAAGAGGCUGCUCCAGGUGAUAAAAUUGUGACUGUUGAGCUUCAUUUGUACCAUGCCCACAAUAUUCUGAACAGUAAUCGAUCCGAGAGAAACAAUCAAAGGAUUGGGGACCUCAUUGUGAUGAGUAUUACCAGAAGAAUUUCCUGGAGAAGAGGAAUUAGGAGAAUUCAGAGUUGUCGUCAUGAGAGGAAUCAAACUUAUUGCAGCAGAAAUUGAAGAAUUGGAGAAGCAGAGAUCUGUUUGGGAUACGAGAAAAUGUGAGAAAAUACAAGAAAGUAUGAGAAAGGGGAAGCGUAGGAUUGACGCGUCGUUAGACAUCAGCGAGGGAUAUCAUGAUAGAAAGUGAAAAAAACUGAAUCUUUCAUUUUAAUGAAUCAGAAUCAUACAUCGAGAGAGUAUUUAUACAUACACCAAAUGAAUGCUGACUCAGCACUUUAACUUAGCAACAACUAGCAACAGCUGGUGUUGAGCAAAAAUUGUACAUAAUAUGUAAACAAAUAAUUCACUCGACACAAUUUCACCCUCGUUCAUUUUUCUGAAGAGGGUUUUAUUAAUUUGAGUUCGACCCAUUCUAGGCUAUGCGCCUAUUAAUUACAACCCUUCUUUUAGGAAAGGAAUACCCUUUGAUUCUAAUUCGAAUAAAAAUGUAACUUGAGGAUUUUGGUGUUUGUUUGAUUUUGUGACUGCACCUAGGUCGAAUCCUAGAUUGCCUACGUACCCUCUUGAGGGAUCAAGUCGCUCGUAGUUCAGGUAUUUGGUACUUGUUUGGAUUUGAUGCCUUGUGCAGUUUUAGCUCAUGCGGGCGAGGAGCAUAGAAAAUUUGAUAUGGCUUCAUGCCAUUUGAGACUUUUCUUUGGCUUCGUGCCACUCGGGAUUUGAUACGGCUUUGUGCCAUUUGAAACUUUCUUCGGCUUCGUGCCAUUUUGGUAUUUGACGGCAGGAGUGAAUUUAGUUUAUAUAAACCAGGGAUUCGUUUCGGUUUCACGGUUGUGUCUAAAACUUGAUAUCAGACUGCCUACGUAUCCUUAACGGAAUCAAACCGGCGUAGUUCAUAAAAAAUAUUUGAUUUGGAUUUGUGUUCAGACUUUGGCAAAAGAAAAGUGCCCAAAAGAUGAUGACUGGCAACAAAACAAAACAAAAACAAAAAAUGAAUUGAUGGUUUUUUGCCAAGUAUGACCCAUGCCUUUUCCUUUAAUAAUCAAAUCUUAGUGUAUUUAGGGUGAGUCCAUACUUCCCACGUGAUGAGCAACCUUUCUUUCUUUUACUUGCCUUCAUUUACUUUGUCUUGAACCAUUCCAUCUUGUCUUCAUGCCUGACACUAACUGGGCAGUAUAGUAGCAAAGCAAAUCUUUGCUUUAUUGUUUAAUAAAAGCAAGUGGUAAAGUACCAUUUUUUAUAAAUGCCUUUUUAGGUUUUAGGUCCCCUGCUUUUUCAUGCUUUGAUUUUUUAUCCCUGCCGUGCCUCUCCUUGAUGGUUUUGAGGAUUUAGCAUCCUCAUCCCCCGGUAAGAUGGCUUCAGCGAUCCACUUUCCCUUGGCUUUGAAAUCUGGUGGUUUUCCUUUAGAAGCAAGCGACUAUUCCACUAUAUUUGGACUUCCGUGGACUUCGUUGCAUUUCAAACUUCUAUUUGGAUUGGGUAUCCAUGGAUUUCAGAGUAGGAAUGGGUAAGGUUUGUUGGAGUUUAAAUUUUUUGUUCCAAUUACUUCAAUUUUCCGUCAUUUCUCUUUAAACCGCAAAGUCCCACUUUACGCAGGACACAAGAGUUCUCAUCUUCCUGCUGCCCUAUUCUUUUGCUUGUGUGCUUCCUCUGCGGAUCGAAAACUCAAAACAAAGAGGGGGAAGAAAUCGAGCAGGUUACCCAUUUUUGUUUUCUUUAUGUUCUGGGUUUGUUUAUGUAUUUGGAGUGAAGUGAAACUCUAGCUGCAAUGAACUUUAUCAAUUAUUUCGUGCAGGAGUCCCAGGAAACGACAUCUCUUCGAUUGGUUGUUGGACAAAACCAUUUUGCAGCCCCGAGUUAGUUGAAGACAAUUGUUGAUUUAUGGCUCCGAAUGUGAGAGUUUGUACUCUGAAAUUUGUAGUAACGUACUCAUAAUAUCUGCCAUAUUUUGAAUGAGUUUUGACGUACUCAUGUGUGAUUAUCACUCUGGUAUUUCUGUUUCCACAAAGAGAUUUUACUUGACUGGCUUUGACAGUAGCAUUUGGACACCCUUUUUUGUGUUCCCAUUUAUGUUUUGUCUUCGAUGCUUGCCAUUUUUUUUUCAACUUGAGACAGCCUGAACCUUUUUUUUAAUCCAACUUUUCCGUGGUAGAGAAGCAAAUUUCUUUUAGCUAUCUAUUUAAAGAUUGUGAAAUUUCCUUUCUUUCCUUGUCUUUAUCAAUGGUUGAAUUGGGGACUUUCUUUUGUGGACUUUAGACCAAACAUGAGUCGGUCAAGGGGAGUUUAGGCUUUCUUUUCCUUUGCAAACCAUCUUUUCCAUUUUUCCUUUUUCUUGGACUCUAUCCCCAAUAAGUUUUCAUAGGAUUUUUAGCCAAAGGCAUGCUCCAUAUCUUGUACCCGUGAGCAGCAAAGAAAACACCAAACACGAUAAUUUCUUUCCUCUCGAGUUUCAUCUUGGUAAAUGUUGCUUCCUUGCUACUUUUCUUCAUAGAGACCAAAUAUGAGUUAGUCAAGGGGAGCAAAAGUUGCAUUUUGCUUCUUUUCCCUUGUUUAUUUGUCCACAAAUGCAUCUGUUUUCUCAUUGACCGCAAAGAAUGAGUUUCGUCUGGCUUUAUGCAACACGGCAUUUGCCAAACCCAUCUACUUCAAGUCGCAUAAUGUACGGACGGCAGGUAUGGGUUACUUAGACUUUGAUUGGAACUUCACGGGGUGGUCUAGGCCACCCCGAAGAAAUUCAUGGGAUUUUUGGAGAUCAUUUCUGCUGCAGUUAGUGGUUCAGAAUCUCCACCUCCAUAUGUUUGGUGCAGAAAAAAUACCAAACAACGAAACAAAGGACACAAAAAAAAAACUAAAAGAAAUAUUAGAACAUUUGAUUUGUCCUUCUCUGUUUUUUUUUCUCCUUGCGUUGUGGACCAUUGUCAAAUGAAGGGGAAUGUCAUGGACCAUUGCCUGGUGGUCUUCGGCUGCCAUUUUUUUGUGUUUCUUCUUUCGCGUCCUUCUCUGUUUCUUGUAUAUAUGUAUAACAUAACAAAAAUCAAGAGAAAAAUAAAUUUAACAGGGCUUUGUUUUUAGGGAACUUUAACGAAAAGCACCCGGUACUGUUCACUUUAACGAAAAACCACAUUUUUACACUAAAAAGUCAAUCCUAGUACUAUUCAUUUUACCCUUUAUUUUGUCCUUAUCAUUAAAACUCAAAGUUUUCAAGCCAUUUUCAUUAGUUUUCCUUUGUUUUUAUACCUGGUGAUGAAUAUUCUUCUUUGGUUCUUGACUUCGAAAGCACGAAAGAUUGAAUUCCUUCUCUUUUCUGGCAGCACUUCGUUGCUUUUGGUAUUCUCUCAAAGUUUCUCUAUUUUCUGCAGAGUUUCCCCUUCCUUUUUUCUGUCUUUUUUCCUUUUACUUGCUGCAGGUGAUGCUUAUUUAUAGGCAUCCUAGGAAAGCUCUAGAAUUUGCUACGUGGGGGAAGUUGGAGGCCAUGAUCUCCUGCCACUUUUACUUAACCUCUCCCCACUAACUUGUGCAGUUUUUUUUCACACCCUGCAGAGAAGGAGGUUUCUGUGUUGCACGUUUUCUUCCCCCUUUUGUAGGAAGAAAUUCAUAUUUUAUUUUUUUUAUUUGUUUAUUUCUGGAUGUUGUUUUGUAUGUAAUGCUCAUCCUCAUCUUUUGUAUGUAAGGCCCAUCCUCAUCUUUUGGGUUGGAUUGCAUUUUGUUUUUUUUUCGGCCUUGUAGUUUGGCCCAAUUUACAUGGACUCUAUUUUUUAUAUGUCAUGUAUUUUUAUUGUUCAACAGCUGGUCAUAAAACUAACUCUAACUAUACUAACUAGCUACCAGUAGUAAUAUGUAGGUGAUGUUCAUGAUUAGUUUGUGAACCUGCAGUACUUCUAUCACUAUUUAUAUGCUAGAGUUGGGGAGACAUAGUAAUUGGAGAAUUGCAAUCCAUUUUAUAUGGAAGGGUAGUCUCCAUGCAGCCACUCUAACUAAACACUUUACUAAUGUUCUUCAACUGUUACUAUAUUUUUGUGAUAUAUUUUUCUAUGUCUUUUAUAUUUGUUUACCUUAUUUAUAAAACGAUUAAGGUUUUACAAAUUUUUGGGACGAAAUUUAUUUUAAGGGGGGUUGAUUGUAAUACUCCAUAUUUUAAAAACAAACUACACACACACACAUGUAGGGCUGGGUUCAGUUUGAAACGGUUCGAUUUUUUGCCAAAACCGAAACCAAACCGAAAUUUUGGUUCGGUUCAAUUUUUUUUCGAUUUUAGUUUUUUUUUGUUCGGUUUCGGCCCAGUUCGAUUUUUUGGUAAAUCUGGAUAUUGGUACUGAUCAAACCACUAUCUUCAUCUACAAAUCAACAACAAUUACAUUCAUUUAGGGUUUGCAGGAUUUGUGGGCUGGUAUUGAUGCAGCAAAAUAUAGAGAGGGAAAAGCUAAUUUUUUUUGUCAGAACAUGAAUCUUUUAUCCAACACAAUAAAAAUAAAAUAAAAAACUUGGAUUGAAUCAGAUGGAAAGAAACAAACACAGAUACAUAAUCUACAUCCCCACGCAUGAUCUACAACCCAUACUUUCUUUGCUCUAUGUCCGUCUAUUGAAUCUAAAACCAAGACAUAAUCUGCAGCAUACACCUCUAUUCAUCUCCACCCAUUUUUUUUCUCCAUAACUAAAAUGAAACUCUAUCACAUCUUCACGGAUAGCACAAAAUCUAAAUAUUGAAUCUCAUACACUAACUGCAAAUCAAUAACCCAAAUCCCUAAGUCUAGAAAACCCUAAGUUACUCUUCCUAAAUCCCUAAAAUUGAAUACCUUUUGAUUGAGAGAGAAGAGGGGAUGUUGCAGGGUCAGCAUGCUCGCAGCCAUGGGGAUGGGUGCUGGAGCUAGAGGGAUGACUGAGAGAGAAGAGGGGACGAGAUAGAGAAAAUGGAGAAAUUGGAUGCAUGGACAUGGAGGGUCUCACAAAUAUGAAGCUUGGAAUAGAAAGGAGGAUGCGGGUUACGGAGAAGAAUGGAGAAAUGGACAUGGAGGAAGUCUGGAGGCAGGGAACGAUAGAGAGAGAAGAGGGGAAUGAAAAAUAGAAAAAGUGUGGCUGCGCUAGGGUUUUGUUGAUUUGGUCAUAAAAAUUAAAAAAGAAUCUCCAAAAUCCGGGAGGCAUGAGGAGGGUUCAAACCCAUGCGCUCCACCAGCUUGGAAAGUUUCACUGAAACCAACUUCACAACAGGUUCUGUUUAAUUAUAAUUGUAUGACUAAACUAUUUAUAAACAUUGAAAAAAAUAAUUAUAUAUAUAUAUAUAUAUAUAUAUAUAUCGGUUUGGUUCAGUUCGGUUCGGUUUUCGAACCUCAAAAACCGAAACCGAACUGGCCAGAUUUGAUUAAGUUCGGUUUGAAAGUUUCGGUUUGAUUUUUUUCGGCCUCGUUCGGUUUGGUUUUCGAUUUUUUUCGGUUUUUGGUUUUUUGAACCCACCCCUACACACGUGUAUGUGGUAAUUAUUUUUAUUUCAAGUAUAAAUUCUUUUCUUUGGGUUUCUUUAUUACACUAUGUUUAUAUAAGAACUCAUACUUUUGAUAUAUAAACUAGUCUCAACGCAAGAUCUUUUUCUACAAAAUUAUUACAAAACUAGUUAGUAUUAUUUCAUAUUUAAUUAGAGAUAUUUUUAGUUUGAAUUGGACAGCUAAGAUUAAGGUUGGAUUACAUGACUAGAAUUUAUAAGACAUAGGCCCAAAGUCUUCCAUAACCUUAGUUUCACGUAGGCCCAAUAAACUUUCUUAGCCAUCCACACUACGAUCCACUUGGCAAGCCCCUACGUGUGGCUUGGGCUCAUUUUAGCACAUAACGUGGUUGGCACAAUUUGUCUAUGAUGUGAACGUCAUAACAUGACUUUGGCAUGAUAAAUUUGCAUGGAUUUGCAUAGACUUGGCGUGAUUAUACAAACGUUCAAGUUAUAAAUUAAUAUUUUAUUAGCAUGAGUUUCGUAUUCCUAGUCAUACCAAAACAAGGAAAGUAAAUUCCCUGUGUAAAUCCAAACAGGAAUAGAGAGAAGGGAUAAAUAAAAAGAUGAUAAACACAAAAUCUUUUAACAAUUUAUAUACACUUAUUUAAUUUGUAAUGUUAUUUUUAUUUAUUUAAUCUGAAGAUUAAAAUGAAAGAGAAACACACUCUUUCAACGUAUCACAAUCACAUACUCCUAUUUAAUUUAAUUUUUUUUUACUUAAUUGUUCAACUUGAAAACUGAAAAAAAAAAAAUUGUGCGGGAGGCCUCCAAAAAAAACUAAGAAUAAAAGCAUGUGGGUUACCCUUUAUUUGGUGAAUGAGGUUUCUGCAAAGUGAAAAAGAGUUUAGGGCUAUAUCUAGAGACUAGAUCGAUCGACGAACUACUGCCCUUUACAGCUUCUCACAAAACAUUACGAAUACGUUACUCGUAAAAGAAAUACAUUGACGACGUUUCUGUUCUGUUAAUUGCUUAGUUUCAGAAUUCAUUCAUUCUAGGGUAGGGUAGGGUUUUGCUGUCAAAGCUGGUGGCGGUGGCGGUGGCGGCGGGGUAGUCGUCGUCGUCAAUGGUUUCCUCUCCGGCUCCGGCAGAGGCUGCCGUUGACCUGAAUCUGAGUGUUAAUCUUAACGAUUCAGAUUCAAAUUCAGUUUCAGAUUCAGGAGUUAUGAGGAGGAGCAAUUUAUUAUCAUUAUUAUGUUGGUGCGAGGAUGCAUUGUUUAAUGUUUUGUGUAGAUUAUCACAAAGGGAUUUGGUAAAGUGCAAGAUGGUGUCCAAGUCCUGGCAAUGGCACCGAAUAAUCUCCCGUGUGUGGCUGCAGAUGUUUUGGCCGCGGUCUCCUACCUUGGGUCUUUUCUACCGUACGAUCCACUCUUGCGACGGUAUGUAUCAGUUACUCUCCUUGGUCUAUUUAUAUGAUUAUCCCUUCUUCAAGUCCCCCGAAUCGUCGUUACCGCAUGUGGAUUGGGGCGGUAAACUGUGUCGGUGGCAGAGACGUGACUUCUCUGACAAUCUCAGGGACUCUUGUAAUGGGUUACUUCUGUUGUUCAACCCAACAACUUACCAGUUUUGUGUGAGCAACCCCAUCACUAAGCAACACGCCUCCAUCCCUCUUCCUGUAGUGGAAGCCGAGGAGGCCGAUUUCUGUGCUGCCUUGGCUUAUGACCCUGUCGAGUCAGAUCACUACAGAGUUGUUCGAAUUGAUUAUUUCCAUUCCCAGCAACAACCAACCUCCAUAACCACAACCACCCCAAUGGACAUUUUCUCGUCGCAUUCUAGACAGUGGGUUCGACAUGGGUUGCGACUUGACCCCGCUUUUGUUGAGGGCUUCAAAAGGUUCAAACUUUGCAGGAAAUUUUUCUACUUGCGUGGGGUGUUAUACAGCUUAGCUACCUCAGGGAAACUUUUGUGUAUUGAUCUCAAUACUGUCGAAGCUCGUGCCUUUCAACUCCCUCCUCGUCCUGUCCUUGAGGAGGAGGACCAUGACGAUGAUGAUAAAACAAUGGUGGGAUGUCUUCUUGGGGUGUCAAUGGACCUUGUCUGUUAUGUAAACCGUGAUGCUUCAGAUAAUUUUUAUUUUUGGUCUUAUGAUGAUCGACCAGGAUGUGAAUCUGGUGAUAGAUGGACUCUCAGAUAUAGUGUGUGUGGCAUGGCGUUAAGAAUGAAAGUGCUUUUCGCUUCGGAUGGCAAGUACAAUCAACGUCAUGAUACUCUGGUACCGUUUGCAAUAAGUCCAAAUUCUCAUGUGCUGUUCUUUGGCACUCGAAAGCUGAUCUUUCGCUAUGACUUAGAAAGUAGAAGAAAGCUGAAACUGCUUCAAGAGACACGGUUGAACAUAGCUGUACCGGGAUAUCACUUUCCUUGCUUCACGCUCCGUGCUUGCUUGAUGCCUUUCUAUGGUCUGGAUCAUGCUCAGAAGAGUGUUGGCUCUCCAUUUCCAGCAGCACAAGAAGUUUCCAAGGGAGCAAAGAUUUUGAGUGAGGAAAUAGCUUGCCAGUGUGAUACAGAAAAAGACUCCUGGAUUGGGCAUGUGGACUCUUACUUUGUAUAUAAAGACAGAAGACCCUUUUUGUAUCCUAGCGAAAUGCAGUUAUGUGCGGGGAUGGAGGAGAUGGAAUUACCCAAACCACAACAACAGGUUCGUAGCUUCCUUCUCUAGACUCAAUUAUCACCGCCAGUGCAAAGACCUGAGUCCGUAUCAACCUAGACAGCGUUUGCUGCCACGAGUUAUGCAUAGAUGACUGAUAUGAUAAUCUCUUUAUUUUUUUUUAUUGACUAUAUAGCAUAUAAUAAUUUGGAUCUAGAUACUCUUGAUUAUGGGUCUAAUAACAAUAAUCAACUAAAUUCAAGCAGCUGCAUGCAUAUCUUCAGUACAUCAAAUGCUGAGAAAAAAGUUGUACAAAUUUAUUAAAAAUCAGUUAGAUGCGAAAACGUAUUAAGUGAUGAAGAACCCGGUGAAAAGAAAAAGACAUGAGAUAUAUGUUGCUAGAAUUUCAAGAAAUUAAUUAAAUUAGUAUACAAUAUAUACUAUAUCCAAUUGAAGAAAGCAAUAUUAAUUCUAGUGCAGCCAAAUGCUCAAAGAUAAGAUACAGAUACAAGAGAGGAGGAGGAGAAGAGCAACAACGAUUAAUACGUUACGGCACGCUAGCAAGCAUUGAGAAUUGACCCUAAUUAUAUUAUCAGAAUGUUGACUUAAUAAGACUAUCAUCAAUGGUUUUCACAAACAUUAAUUUCACAGCCUCCUCGAUCUGAUGUGGUGUAACUUAAUUUCACAAACAUUAAUGCAGCAUUGUCCAACAGCAACUGAAUUCACAGUUUCCAAUUUGUCGUCCAGGUCGUUGUUCAUUGAGAAAGACUGAUGACUGAUGACAACACAACAUUGACAGUGGAAAUGCCACUUAGUACUACGGUGUAAUGGUAUUCCUCUUCAUUUGUAAGUCAGAGGUCUCUUAGGUUCGAAUCUCGCCAAAUGCGAGUUUGAACCGCAUUAUUGCUAGCCCAUUGUGAGGCUAAGCCCACCUCCUUCCCCUUAGUUUAGAUAAUAUCGUUUGUUCAAAAAAAAAAAAAAAAGACAGUGGAGAUAGCCUAAGACUAAAAAUUAGCUCAAGAACUAUAUAGCUAGAAACCUAGAAGUGAUGUAAUUAUAAAAGUACUAACCUCUUUCUCUUGCUCAAAAAUUCUCCCUCGCACUCUUCUUUUUCUUCUUCUCCACUUGCUUUGUGUUGGGGAUAUUUUGAUCGAGUUGGAUUUGGGCUUCAGUGGAAACUCCCAAUUCCCCUAGUUUGUGUCCAAUAUCAAGUCUCGAGAUACCUCGAAAGAAUUAACGUGUCUUAAAAAGUAUCUCAGUUGAAUUAAUGGCUAAAGAAUGAAUGCUUAAGACAAAUUAUGGCUCGCUUAAGCGCGGUUGUGAAUUGGAAGUUAAAAGCUUAUUAGUUUAGCACCAUCGUCGGCCUUGGCUAGUCACACUAAGCAGUGAAAGCCGGGGCACGGAGGACAACGACGACGUUGUGACUAAGAUCAUACAUACUAUUAAGGCGCUCACCGUCCAAGAGAACUGCUCCGUUCUAGCCAACGUGUCCAUCACCAAACCCUUGACUGUGGAGUUGACAAAGUGUGAGAUGAUGAGCAAGGGGUGUUUUGUGGGGAACCCUGUAUGAAAGGCAGCAAAAGUUAUGGGAUGGCACAAACAUAAAGUUGAGUGUGAAGUAUUCUGUUAGUGGAACGGUGGAAGUGAUGAGUGGUGGAUUCAAAAGGAUGUAAAAGUAAAAGGAAGGGUUCAAAAAUAAGGAAAAAAAAAAACUAUAACAGCUUGCUUGAUGAAAAAAGAGAGAAUGAUGGUAAGAUAUAUAAUCUUAUCAUCAACUCUCAUCAAUCUCCCUUACUAUUAUUUAUAUAAUUUAUUUGUGUGUUUCAUUUUUUUGGUUUGUUUAUAAAAUUAUCAUAUAGCAAUAUAGCAUGUGAUUCUUGAAGUCAAUGUUGCAUAUUACAUAUAUAUGCAUAAAGCAAGAAAAACAGUGUUGUGCUAUAUCAAUUGCUCAGUUGUGUAAAAUGUGAGAGUUGUGAAGAUAUUCAAGGGUUGGAAAAAGCCUUGGAUAUAUAUUCUGAAACCUUGAAUAUGUCAUGCAUCGGAGGAAGGGCACAAAUAUACAAUUGGGCUUCGGGCGAAAUGUCUAUAUAAUAAAGUGGAAAUUAAGAAUUUAAAUCACAAAAGUUGAUCUUAAGAAAUGAACGGGAGUUAACUCUUAUUCUAAGGUAUUCAGAGCCAAGUGGUAUAAGUAUGGUAUGGAACGUGCUGGCUUGGGUGCCUUAGGCAUGUGUUAGUGGGAUUAGAAGGGAGUGACAUUCAUGCAUUUCAUUUGCAUAUAUUUUAUGUGUUUGCAAGACUUGCUACAUUUUAAUUAUUAUUUGGUAGAUACCUAUUUCCAUAGUGAACUAAUUUGUAAACUAAUAAUUAGUGUUUUUAUUCUGAUGCAUAUUCGAUAAAUUUUAUGUAGUAAAUUCAAGUAUAUAUUAUGUAAACAUUAUUAGCGAGUGCUUUACAUUGUAGCGUGUAUUAGUUACAAAUAAGAUUUAUUUUAAUUUUUUCCCCUUCAUGUCUUGGUUAUAGAACUUACUAGCAACGGUGCCCGCGCGAUGCCGUGGGUUUUUAAAUAGCAUACAACAUGUAGAAAGUUAUAUUUGCAAUUUUGCUUAACUCAAUCUAUUUACAACUCUGCCUAACUCAAGGAAUAGAUAAAAGUUUGUUUCUUACCGAAAUAUAUGAAUUUGAAUUUUAGCAGUGACACACAUAGAAAAAACUUAACAGUUCUAUGAAUUGUAUACAGAGAAAUAGGUCACAACAUUUAUGGUUCAAGUUUUGAACAAAGAAUUAGUUUAUCAGCAAGGAUUGGAUACAGAGAAAUGUAAAUAUUGUUUUCAAUGCAUUAUUAUAAUGAGAAACAUAACAGUUCUAUAAUUGUAAGGGAGGAAAUAUGAUGAAAGACAUACGAAGAUUUGAUGGUCAUAUGUUGAGAAAAAUCCACAUUGCUGAUUGACGUAUUGUUUGUUCAAUAGAUCAACGCUCGAAACUGCAACAAAAAUAAAAGAAUCAAUUUAUGAGCAGUUGGAAGAAUCAUUAUCCGUAAAAAAAUUGUUGAUUCAAAUAUAAACGAAUGAAACUGACUGUAAAAGAAAGGUAUACCGAAUGUUGCUCCAAACUAAGUUCAAAAUGAGUGUAGUUGUGGAAAUUCUGUGCAACACUCUGUUGAGAGAUGUAAAAAGUAGAUCACACAAUAUUUACAUCACCGUAAACAAAGAUGUUGGAAGUGGUUUAUACAUAAAAUAUUAAAUUUGUACAAUCCAGAUACAAAGGAUUAAAACCUGUUUCCUUACAUAUAGACAAAAAAUAAUACAGUGAUUGAUUGGAUUCUACCACUUGCAUCUACCUCUCAAGUGGAACCAGCAUUUACAUACAAAAAAUUAAUGAAUGCUGGUUUAUGUACAUGCAAAAAAUAUUAUGAAGUCCAGACCAGAGACAUUUACAUGGCAGGCAAAUAUUAGCAAUAUUGUUUGAUACAUAUUGACAAAAAACGGUUAAUGCGUUUCAGUAUCGGAGAUAGAGUUUUGCCACUGCAUCGUUCAUCCUUAAGCAAGCAAGCUAGGAAAAAGAGAGAAAAUAAUACAGUUAGAUGGAUAUUAAAUAUAUAUCAAAAUAACUGUAGAGGAAAAAAGGAAGCCAUGUUUAAAAUAUAGCAACCUAGCAGGUUUUUUCAGGAGUGGUAUCAGAUUUUCCGCUAGUUGGUGACGAUUUCUUUUUGAGGAACUUGAUUGGAACUUGUUAGCAGAGACUCCUCCACGUCUUCCUCUCGUCAUAGUUAGCAUGAUUAUCUCCUAUCUUAUCUUGGAGUUUUGUAAUCCCAACAGAACUUGUAUUACGAGUUAACCAGUCCCAUUAGGACUCUCUGUAAACCUUACAGACUUUGUGUAUUUAUACUCAGUGAUUACUAAUGAAAAGUACAACUUCCAUUAAUAUUAUAGUCUUACAGUUUUUAUAUUUCUACAUGGUAUCAUCCCUUUCCCCGGUUUAACCACCCUUUUCGAUCCUGCUUCCCAUCAUGUCCUUUACCUCCCCGCUUCCUGGCCCUGCUAUUGCCCAAUUUCUUAAACUUAAUGACUCCAAUUACCUAACCUGGCUUCGUCAGAUCAAGCCCUUUCUUGUGGGUCAUGAUCUGUGGAAGUUUGUUGAUGGCUCCCACCCACCUCCACCGACCACCCUCACCGUUACUCUCACCCCUUCUUCUGCCGCUUCUGACUCAGAUAGUUCUUCCGUGAUUACUACCUCCAUCAUUCCCAACCCCGCUUUCGCCCAAUGGUACCAACACGAUCAGUUAGUCGUCAGCUAUAUCACCGCCACCUUGACAGAACCUGUCCUUGCUCUUACUGUAGGCCAUGACUCUGCUCAAGCCGUAUGGGCUUGUCUUCAACGGCGCUUCGCCCACGGUUCUGUUCUCAACUCCGCUGCCCUGCGUUACCAACUGCUUGAUCUUUCCAAAGGAUCUCGCCCUAUUGCUGACUAUCUUCAGCAUGCUAAAUCUCUUGCUGACAAACUUGCUGCUAUCGGUCGUCCCGUUGAUCCUGAAGACUUCAUCACCGCUGUUCUUCGUGGCCUUGGAUCUGACUACCUUACCCUUACCACUGCUAUCAUCAAUGUCACCCCUCUUCCUACCUUUGAGGAAUUGACCUCCAAAAUUGAAGCUUUUGACCUUCAAACUCUGCGCAUCUCCCCCGCUCCCGCUGCUUCUCAAACUGCUCUCAUCACCACCCACCAACCCCGUGCUCCAUCUCAGUCAUCUGGCCCUCGCACUGGAAACUGGAAUGGUCGUUCCCAGCGUCACUCCGGCGGCCAGCAGCGUUCUUCUUCUAACUGGCGUUCUGGCAGAAACCAAAUUUCCCGUAACCACCAAAAUUGGAAUGGGCCUCCUCCUCCUACCUCUCAGCAACCAUGGUUCGGCGCACCUGCUCCGACUCACUGGCCUGGCCCGCGUGGUUUCCCUGGUCGCCCCACUUCUGGUUUGUUGGGUCCCGGCCCUUGGUGCCCAACUUGCUCCACUUCACAGCAUAGUGCUACUCAGUGCCCACAUCGUUAUGGCGGCCCCGACUCCUUCCCUCCCUUUGCGGGCUCUCAGGUGGUCCACUAUCCGGAUCCCACCACUUGGUUUCCUGACACCGGCGCUACCCAUCACAUGACGGGCGAUCCCAAUGCUCUCUCUCACCCCCAGCCUUAUCGUGGUCCUACUUCCGUUCAGUUGGGUAAUGGUGAUUCUCUAAACAUUACAUCCACUGGUACAAUUCCUAUUUCUCUCAACUCUAUUCCGUUUAGUCUUCGCAAUGUUUUUCUUGUUCCGUCUUUACGUAAGAAUCUCUUUUCUGUUGCACGUUUUACCCAUGAUAACAACAUCGUCCUUUGCUUCUUUCCUUCUUUUUACCGCAUUUAUGACUUACACACUGGUUCCUUAUUAUUUCAGGGCCCCUGUAGAGAUGACCUUUAUCCUUUGUCGCUCUCAUCACCCCAAGCCCUUGCUGCGUCAUCCUCCAACCUCUGGCACCAACGUCUCGGUCACCCUUCGUCCUCUGUUUUGUCUCGUCUCAGCUCUAGUCUAGGUUCUAAGUCUUUUUCUUCCCAUCUUUUUUGUAAAAGUUGUGCUUUAGGCAAGUCUACACAACUUCCUUUUCAAUUGAAUAAUGCAAGGGCUACUACCCCAUUUUUUAUAGUAAAUUCUGAUGUUUGGAUGUCCACUACUACUUCUAUUUCUGGUUUUCGUUAUUACGUAUUGUUCACUGAUGAUUACUCUCGCUAUUCAUGGAUUUAUCCCAUGAGACAGAAAUCUGAGGUCUUCACCCAUUUCCAAACUUUUGUUGCUAUGGCCAAAAAUCUUUUCAACGUCUCCAUUAAAUAUUUUCAAAGUGAUGGAGGCACUGAAUAUGUCAACCACUCCUUUACAGCAUUCCUUCGUCAUCUCGGUAUCCAACACCGUAUUUCCUGUCCCCACACACCCCAGCAAAAUGGCCUCGCUGAGCGUAAGCAUCGUCAUAUUGCUGAUAUGACCCGCACCUUGCUUACCGCAGCUCAUGCCCCACUCACCUUGUGGGUUGAAGCUGCGCUCACGUCCGUUCAUCUCAUCAACCUUCUCCCCACCUCUACCCUCAACUGGUCUACCCCCCACACACUUCUUUUUGGUCGGCCCCCUGUGUACUCCCACUUACGUACCUUUGGAUGUAUGUGUUUUCCAUAUCUUCGGAAUUAUGUUCCCGACAAACUAAUGCCUCGCUCUCUUGAGUGUGUUUUUGUGGGUUACAGUGCUUCUCAUAAAGGUUACAGGUGCCUUGAUCGUGCCACUGGCCGUGUCUAUAUCUCUCGCCAUGUUGUUUUCAACGAAGCAGUCUUUCCCUUCGCCACUGCUCUCGGCCACCAACCACCUGCCUAUGUGGAGCUCACUCUUUGCCCUAUUGUCCCCUCCCCUCCUGUUAGCCCACUGCCCUCCGUGGGCCCUUCCUCAACGCCAAAUGACACUGGGCUUCUGCCCUCCUCCACCGAUGGCCCACCUUCUCCUCAUGCUUCUCCACCGCAACCCGUGCCUCCACCACGCAUCCAACAACAUGUGCUUCCCUCCCAUCCCAUGCUCACGCGGUCCAAAGCCGGCAUGCGCAAACCUAAGACCUGGACUGAUGGUUCAAUUCGGUAUCCUCUCCCUCAUGCUCUUUCCGUUUCGCUUACCACUGAUGAACCUACAUGUUUUACACAGGCUAAUCGAAAACCUGAAUGGCGGGCUGCCAUGACCGAGGAGAUUAAUGCUCUUCUUAAGAACAACACUUGGGUCCUUGUUCCCCCUUCGUCCCAUCAAAACAAAGUGGGCUGCAAGUGGGUUUAUCGCAUUAAAAGGAAUUCUGAUGGUAGUAUUGACAGAUAUAAAGCUUGUUUGGUGGCCAAGGGAUUUCACCAACAACCAGGAAUUGACUAUGCUGAAACUUUCAGUCCGGUCGUCAAACCUGCAACUAUCCGCACAGUUUUUAGCCUUGCCGUUUCGAAUAAUUGGCCCCUUCAUCAACUUGAUGUCAAGAAUGCCUUUCUACAUGGUCACUUGCAAGAGGAGGUGUAUAUGUCACAACCACCAGGCUUCAUUGAUCCCCACCAUCCCCAUCAUGUUUGUCGUCUCACUAAGGCCCUCUAUGGUCUUAAGCAGGCACCCCGGGCCUGGUUUCAUCGGUUUAGCUCCUAUUUGUUGCGCUAUGGAUUUUUCCAAAGUAAAGCUGACACCUCUCUCUUUAUAUAUAACCGUGGCUCCUCUUGUAUGUGGCUCCUUCUAUAUGUCGACGACAUUGUCCUAACUGGCAACGCCUCCUCCCUCCUGCACCACUUUAUCACGGCAUUAGGUCAUGAGUUUGAGUUAAAGGAUCUCGGACCUCUUCACUACUUCCUAGGGCUUCAAGUCAGCACCACUGACCACAGACUGCACCUCUCCCAAGUCAAAUAUGCGUAUGAUUUGUUACAAAAGGCCAACAUGUUAGAGUGUAAACCAUGCUCCACACCAGUUGCUGCCAAACUCUCCUUGUCUUCCCAUGAUGGUGUACCCUUGACUUCUCCGACUGAAUAUCGUAUGUUAGUAGGCUGCCUGCAAUACUUGACGCUCACCCGCCCUGACAUCUCGUUUGCCGUCAACAAUGUUGCUCAAUAUAUGAGCAACCCUCUUUCGACCCACAUGUUGGCCGUUAAACGUAUCUUACGGUACGUAAAAGGAACUAUUGAUCUUGGUUUACUUCUUCGCCCACAACCCCCUUCGUCUCGUAUCUCCGCAUACUCCGACGCCGACUGGGCAGGGUGUGUUGACACCCGUCGCUCUACCACUGGUUAUCUCAUCUACCAUGGAGCUAACUUGGUGUCUUGGUGCUCCAAGAAGCAGCCCACUGUCUCUCGUUCAAGCGCUGAGUCCGAGUACCGGGCGCUGUCUCAUGCCUGUGCUGAAACCACAUGGCUCACCUACUUGCUCCAUGAACUUGGCGUUCGCCCUACUUUUCCUGUCUACCUUCAUUGUGACAAUCUCAGCGCAACAUACUUGGCUGCCAACCCAGUCUUCCAUGCUCGAACACGCCACAUCAAACUCGACUAUCAUUUUGUCCGUGAGAAGGUUGCUCUCGGCAGUCAUCAAGUUUGUUUUCUUCCCUCCAUUGAUCAACCUGCGGACUUGUUGACGAAAGGUUUACUCAAGGCGCGUCACCAUUUACUUCGGUCCAAACUCGUUCAUCCAAGGAUGCCCAGUUUGCGGGGGGGUGUUAGCAGAGACUCCUCCACGUCUUCCUCUCGUCAUAGUUAGCAUGAUUAUCUCCUAUCUUAUCUUGGAGUUUUGUAAUCCCAACAGAACUUGUAUUACGAGUUAACCAGUCCCAUUAGGACUCUCUGUAAACCUUACAGACUUUGUGUAUUUAUACUCAGUGAUUACUAAUGAAAAGUACAACUUCCAUUAAUAUUAUAGUCUUACAGUUUUUAUAUUUCUACAGAACUUCAUCAAACUCUUUUGGAUCUGCCUCUGAAAUUUCAUCGAUUUCUCUAUUUUAAAUGGGCUACCAGCGUUAAAUAAAAUGAAUGAAGAAUAAGUCCAAAAUUAUGUUUUGAAAAGAAGUUAUGAAACAAACCUUUGCUCAUUGUUGGUGAAAAGAGCCCUCUUGAUUGAUUCCCUCUUCCGUUUAUUCGAUUGUUCAGUAGUUUCAGCACUUGAAGUAGAAGACGAAACCGUUGUGGAAGACCCUAUGAUUUCUCUUGGUAAAGGCAGUGGAGUUGCUGGUUGCAUGGUUGUAUCAUCGGUUACAUUGUGAAUGAGGACAUUGCUUGGAUUGAAAUUUUUCUUCUAUUUCCAAAUCGCAGAUGGAAAAUUUUCUUUUGCCCGAUUAGUUUAAGAAAUUCAUUUGGUAAUUGGUGAUGGUCCACCAAUUUCUGAUUCAGAACCAAAUCUUUGCAGCUCAUGCCAAAAAGUUUUUCACCACAUUUUUCAAUUAUCAAAGCAUUUAUCUCAUUGGUUUCAUCUUCGAGUAUCAGAUUGACGUUAUACCUACAUUUAAAAACCUAAUUUAAGAUCACAAAGAAAUAUCCAAAACAAAAACAACCAUGAGAUAUUUAGGUGUUUAAAAAAAUAUCAAUAGUGAGAAUGAAAAAUUAUAUACCAUUGACAGAGCAAAAAAUUAAUUGAUUCUAAACUGAAAACUGCAAAGUAAAAAAAAAAUGAACUCAUGGUAUAGACAGAAACAAAACUGCAGCACAACAUGUUAAAUAUCACCAAGGUGUUGGAAUUUGGCUUGGGUGUUUUUGACAAAUUAGCUGCGCAGUUAUUGGGUCCUUAUGCAUUUGUUUUACACAGCUGGGGCAGACACUAUACCACCAAUCGUAACGUGUGUCAAAACGCUUCACAAAUGCUCUACAUAGAAAUGUCUCGUCCUGUAAUAUAUUUUGUAAUAUGUCUGUGAAACUGAGAACAAUCAUAUGCAUUCUUUUUAUUGAAGGUGUGAAAUCACAGUUGUAAAAUUUUAAGAGAACAUGAAAAGGCAUAAUCAAGUUUUAAACCUUGUACAAAUCUGGAUCCAAAAAAGCCAUUUCAUCACAGUUUGAUGUGAGUGAUGUAUAGAAGACGAGUGAGGAAAAUAAGUAUAUACUUGAUAACUUGAAAACUAUAUUGGUUCAGUCCAAGCACUAUUGGGAAUCCGUGAAUCAGAAACUUGGUUUUGGUCCAAGUAAAUACAAUACAUAAACAUAGAUACAAAAUAGUUUGGAGACAGUGGACUGAAUAUGGUUUGUGAAACCAUUUCAUAAAGGGUAUUAUCAACAACAUACUUAAAAUGAUAAGAUAAGAGAAAUUCAGCUUUUGUCCCAAACUUAUCGUUACUUAUAUAGAUAUCAGUUUUUGUUAAGUACAAUUCAUAUUUAAUUUUAAAUAAAAGUAUUUAAAAUAAUUUCUGACCGCACGAUGUACGAUGAAUGGACACGAUUUGAGGAUACCCGAGAUCCUCACAAAGAGGAUCCGGAGAUGAUCCUUAAUUAUAUAACUGUUAUCAAAUAAAUAAAGAAACAUAAUAUUUUUAAUUAAAUAUUAAAUGAUUAAGUACCUAAAACUCCCCAACCUUUUAGUGUCAUUUCAAAUUAGUUUCAACAUUUUAAACAUUCCAAACAAGUAUCCAACCUAUUGAAAUGUCACAUCUGUUAAGCCCCAGUUAAUAAUAACAUAGAUUCUAUUCAAAACGACCAAUUGGGUAUAUCAUGGUCAACAUUAAUAUUAGUUGGAUCAAAAUCUGAAUUUCAAACAUAGAUUAUACAAUAUGGAAUCCCAUGAUCAAAUAAGUAUUGAUUGAAUAAAAAAUGAACUCAAAUUGAAAUUACAUUAGGAAGGCAAUCUCCUAACAAAGAAGAUGGUUAAGAAUUUAGUUACGGUUUCAAGGAGCUUGUUUAUGCUCAUGUGAUUUCCUCAUUCGCCGGUUCUCAGCUCGUAAAGCUUUCAGCUCUUCUUUGUGAGCGGUGAAGAUGGUGGUGGCCACAUCAUGAUAGUCCAUACCAUUUCAGCAACCUCCAUGACCUUCUUCUCAAUGUUGGCGACUUGAGUUGUAGGUGGAAUUGGUGGUUUUGUGGUGGAAUUUGAGGUGAUGACAUGAAGGGGUGGUAAGCCCUAGCUAAUUUAAUAGAUUUUAAACUGGGGCUUAACAAAUAUGACAUUUUCAAUAGGUUGAGUACUUGUUUGGAAUGUUUAAAAAGGUUGUGACCAAUUUAGAAUGACACUAAACGGUUGGGGGUUUAAUCCAAUAAUAAAUAACACCCUAUUAAUCUAUGGCUAAAUAAUUUCUAUGUUAACUAAUUAAUAUAUAAUCUUCAAAUUGUGUCUUAAAAAAUAGGGUCAACAGAGACAGUGGACUGAAUAUGGUUUGUGAAACCAUUUUAUAAAGGGUAUUAUCAACAACAUACUUAAAAUGAUAAGAUAAGAGAAAUUCAGCUUUUGUCCCAAACUUAUCAUUACUUAUAUAGAUAUAGAUAUAUGCAGAACAAUGGUUAUUUUAGAUUAACCUUGUAUUCAACUAGUAGAUGAACUGAUCCCUUUCAGUCUCACAUAACAAAGUAGUCCAUAUAGCUUGCAGUAAAGCUGGAAAAAGCUCACCAUCAUAUAGAAGCAACGCAUAGUCGGCGUUCGUCAUUUUUAAGAUUGGGAAAACUCAAACACAGCUAUUUCCUCCACACGACCACAUCGUUCCGAACCCUAACUAAAUCUUUGCAUGUCAAAAGUUGCCAAAUAAGAAAUCAUGUUUAUUUCAUGACGCAGACCCAUCUUUUUCGAUGACCUCCUUCUUCCUUUUAUCAUCCCUGCCCUCUCUCUCUGUUCUCGUUUCUUACUGGAGUUUGCAGCUCUUGAGGUCCCUAUUUAUACUUAUAACAAUACUUGGUGAUUAAGCACCAGAUAAAUAUAUAUAAAGGGAUAGUCGGCAAUUGGAGAGGAGGAGCUGUCGACUUGAUAGAGAAGAACAAAUAAGGCAGAUACACCUAGCUAAUAGAUAAGGCUUGGGUUUUUCAUCAUCAUGCAAAGCACGAGCUUCAAGUGUUCAAGAAUCAAAUAGAUGGUGAAGGUGUCACUCAAAAGGAAAGAUGAAAACUGGUUUGCCACCUCCAAACUGGAGUGUUCUCCAAGUAGUCCUACUCAUUUAUCCUUUCAAAUUACAAGCACGCCCUUUCUUGCAUUUGGUCAUCACCUGUUGACCAAUAUGCCUAUAUAUAAUAAUUACAUACAUAUUAUACAUAUAUACAAGAAACCCAAUAACACAAUUAUAAAUAUAUUUCAGUAGAAAUAUACUUUCCAAAUCACAGUCUAUCCCCUUAAAUAAAUUUUGUCCUCGAAAUUUAGUUUAAGCACCUAAUUACUUGACAAGUCCGGAGUUUCUACCUUUGAUCGGACUCAAAUUUCCAAGUGUAUCCAUGGUUGUCAUGUAGAGUAAUGAUUCAUGUAACUCUCCAAGUCGGAGUUCAAAGUCUUAAGCUUAUAUUGAAUACACGUACUCAUAUUUAGUACUUAGUCGAACACAUACAAAUGCAGAUCUUACCCCGCAGUGCUCAAUCCAGAGAAUUGGUACUCAUAAUCAAUAAGAUUCGUACGGCUUCAAUUUUGGUUGCAGCAAUGCUACUCUUGCUGAAGACCUGCCAUGUAAGUGAUUUAGUUUUUGCUUUUCAUUUCUACUUUUCAUGCAUAAUUAUGAAUUUGUGGGUAAUAUUUUCUACUUGAUCUCCAAUUCAAAGAGAAGGAUAUUGAAUUGUAUUAUCAUUUUUGUUGGAGCAGUUAAGUUUUUAUUUAAUAAUAUAUAUGUUUAUAUGGUUAUGAUUUGUUUUAUUAGAAAUAUUAAAUAUAUAUAUAACUGUCAUUAGAAGUAAUUUCCAUUCUUAAUUAUAUAGGAGACGUGAGGAAGUUUAUUACUUCAACAAAUUUGAAAUGCUUUCUCUGAAUAGAGAAGAUGGUCACAUCCACCUCCAUAUGUAAUCUAUCCGUUUUGAUUAUUUAGGUUUUCGUUUAUUCCGGAUUUCUAGCCCCUAAUUUAUUAAUCCUUCAACGUCUAUUUCUUUACUUUUGUAUAUAAAUAUAAGUCCCAAGUAUCAAUGGAAUAUAUAGAGUAUACUCUACAAGUUUAUAUAUAAUUUUUGAAAUUAAGUUUUGAAGGCAACAUAUCGAAAGGGUGCAAGUUUGAAGGUUCUUCCAUUGUGCAAAGAAGAACCUUAUCAAAAGAAGGUUCUGGACUGUUUUAUCCUGGAGACGACGUGUUGUUUAUGAACUGCUUGCACACUUUGGGCAGAGCUGUGAAAUGUCUUAAAGAGAGUGACGUAGUCCGCGACUCAUCCCAAGAAUCAUUCACCACUCAAAGCUUCUACAUUUUUUCGGGUAACUUCGUUCAUUUCUAUUUCAGUUUACAACAAUUUUAGUUAAAAAGCAUUACCAUUUUAGUUAAAUUUAAUCCCUAAUUGAUCUGACUAACCACCCACCCAAAAAGGAUUAUCAUACAAAAUGUCUGCAAAUAGAUCGAAUACUAAUAAUGAAAAUUAAUCCUUAAUGCUUCCAUCUGACUACAUGGUAGUAUUUUGUGGCUAAACAUAGUUUUUACGCGAUCAAAUAUUUACCAACUUACAUUGACAAAUUCAUUCUCCUUCAUUUGAACAUCAAAAGCCAAAUCACACAUGGAUCCCCAAACUUUAGCUUUACCAUUACUAAUCCUCUUGCUUGGGCAUUAAAAAAAAUCAUAAGCAAACAUGAAUCUUAUUAUAUACCAACUCAGGAUGUUAUCAUAAAAAUCAAUUGAUACGAAGAGUAGAGCUAUUAAAGACCUUCCAAAUUUUAUCAAGUGUUACAGAAGUAAUAUAUUUUGUAUGCAGAAAUUCAAAGCACGCAGAGAUCUCAAGUCAAAAACAGAGGUACCCAUCUUCUUUUGUUCGAUUUUUGCUUUGUUUUAUCUCUGUUUUCAUUUUUGGGUAGGAUUUUGUGCUUUAUAAUUGGGUUUAAUGUGAAAUUUUUGAAGCAGCUAAAUCUCAUUCAGUUCUGUUUGAUUGAUUGUUUAUCUAUGAUUUGUUCUGUUAUGCUUGGUGCUUGGUAUGUUUAAAUUGAAUUGGAUUUAUAUUUGAUUUCAAGUUGAUUAAUUUUAUUUUAUUUUUGUUGUAAAUCAUAUUAGUUGCCGAUCAUGAAACAAUUUCAUGUUUGGUUUAAGAGAAUAGGCUUGAUUCAGUGAGAUUUGGAUUCAUGAGUUAUAGCCAUCUGAGAUAGGCAAGAGUGUUUGCAUUCCUUAGAAAAAAAUUGGGAGCUACAAAACUAUGCUUUAAAUUUGAGUUUUGUGAUUACUAUUUUUUAUCUUUAUCUACUCUAGCUAUACAAUUCUUCCAUGUUUGUCAGAUCAUGGAAUGAGUUUCUCAUGCUGAGAUUGUAACCCAAUCAAUAAGUAAGUGAAACACAUAAGUUCUAUAUCGCAUGUUAGUUUUGAUCAAUUUCUAAAAAUCCGAUGUAGUGGAUUGUUAUUUUAUUGGUUACGCAAAACGAUUAAGGUUUUAUGUUUUUGAGGAUCAUAAACAUACCAUAAGUAGGAAUAAUUACAUAGAAUGUGAGGACAAUGGUGUGAAUAAAUAAUUUGUUUUGAAGAAGGAGAGUUAAUUAGUAGUUAAACACACCAAUGUUGUAAACCUACAGACUAGUCAAAUAGACCAAAAGAUGCUGUAGACGAUAUCGAAUAAGAAGAAGAUCAAGAUGGAAUCUAUAUAGAAGGCCCUACAACAGAACAAGAGCCAAAGAGGUCUGAAGGUAAAUAAAGUCAUCUAUAUGAUUCAAUUUUGUGUACUAAUAAAGAGUUAUUUCUAGUUCACAUUUUGGAAGAGGGUUGAAGCUAUAUAAACUAAAUUAGAGUUCAUGAAAAACAAUAAAGCGUGGGACUUAGUGGAACCAAAACAAGGUAUUGGGUCAAUAGGACGUAAGUGAGCGUUUAAGACUAAGAAGGAUUGAAGCGGCCAAAAACCUUGAGAUAUGUGUAUGUAUAUUAAGGAGGUUGAGUUUCGAUGACAAAAUUCUCUUUACAGGGAAAGAAUAUAUGUACUUUUCGGUUCUUGCUUAAUCUAUGAAUUGUUUUGGUUGAUUGUCUUGAAAGUUGAUUCUCUUUUAGAGCAAACUGGGAUUUUAAACCAAGAAAUUUGGAGGUUUUAAAGAAGUAGGGCUUAGUAAUGCUUAAGGGAUUAUAGUAAGAGAAAAGGUGAGAAAGCUCAUUACUGUUAGCAAAUUAUGACUAAAGUAGUUGUGCUAUUAGAAGUUGGACAAAAGAAAUUUUAGAGCCUUGAAGUAUUCAAGAGAUUUGAAAGAGUAGAGAUUAAGUAUAGGCCAUAUGCAAAAGAAAAUGUUGUGCUAUCUCAAGGGUCAAUAUAAAAACACAUACUAGUUUUCAAGAGGAAAGAACAGUUGGAAACAAAUGGUUUAUUCAGAUUCCAAUUUUGGUAGAUUAUGUACUUCUAAAGUCAAUUUCUAGUUUUGCGUUUGUAUUAGAAUUGGAGGUGCAAUAUUAUAGACAAAUGUUAUGCAAUCAAUAGUUAUUUUUCUGUACUAUGUAUGUAUACUUAAUUCGUGGAUGUUGUGGAGCUCUAACGCAUGCAGGGUAGUUAAAGUUUUCUCCAUACCUGACGCCCUCAAUAUUUGCUAGAAAGAGGAAGAGUGAGGAAAUGAUAUACAAGUGUUGAUUAUAUUCACACUACAGAUAUGACUACAUAUAUAUUAAUAGAGUUAUUCCUCAGUUAGUUUCUUUAAAGCAUGUCACUAGAAUGGGAGAAUUAUCAAGCUUUAAAGAUGCCUAAAAUUAGUGGGAGCUAUUUUGCUUUUCAAUUAAAACUUCAUGGAUAUGCAUUAAGGAUUGAUGUGUUUUAUUUCUAAAUAUUUGUCAUUACAGCUAGCCAAUUUUGAAGAUUGUCUUUUCGUCAUAAGGACUUAUUUUAAGCAUUAAGGAAGAUCACGUUGUGAUCGUAAAGAGGACCAUAUAUGUGUUUAGUGUGAUACUCACCUUUAAGCCUUAAGCACACUUAUCAUAUAUAUACGUUAGUCCAUGACUUGUUGGUACUUUAUGUGAAUGUUGUUGCUUGUAUGUGAUUAUAGAGGUACACAUCUGCCAUAUUGGAUAUCGUAGUCUAUAGUCCUACGAGCUAAUGAUAUUUGACACUAAGUUUGAAUAGAUACUGCUAUCAAAUAAUCUUCCAAAGUUGCGCGCAUCAAGAAAUUUAUUCAUGAUCCAAAGAGCUUCUUGAAUAGAUGUCACGUCCAAAGAGCUUCCUAAUUGUGAAACGAAUUCGGAGGUAAUUCUUCAUUCCAACUGACAAAGGAAAAAGAAAAUAAAAGAAAAGGCCAUUGCGAAGUGAAAUUCUCAUUCCUACACGAGUUGGUAAAGUUAAUUAGUAAUAUUUCUCAUUCCUAUACAACUACGGGUUGUGUGAUGAGCUGGGUUUUUUUUUUUUAAUCAAACCUCGACUGUACGAGGGAUAUUUUAUUGAUAAUGAAAAAAAGUUAUACCUAGUCAAGGGUUGACAUAAACCUUACCCCUCAUAAUACCAAGAAAAGGAGAAAAAGAACAUGAAUAAGAAGGGGGGGGACAUAAACCUUACCCUCUAGAGGCGGGGACAUGAAACCUAACCCCUCUAAAGCCAAACCUAAAAGGUCUAAAACUUGCAAAACAAGUCAAACAAUAACACCACAAGGUUAGGAAAAAACAAGAAAUGAAGACAUACCUGCAUGGCGAGAUGCACAUUAGUUUGAGAAGUGGAAGCCAGACACGCCUACAUAGUUUGAAAACAAAGCAUCACGAGCUGGCGGCGGAGGGGGGUCAUGCCACACCAAAGUUGGAGAAGACAAGUCCAUGUUAGCAAAUUUAUUUGCAACAACAUUUCCUUUGUGAUAUAUGUGAGAGGCGUAGAAGGUCAUAUUCCGAAUGCGGUCCAGACAAAUAGACCAUUGUGUACGAAGAGGCCAAGGAGGAUCAAAAUCGGUUGAUUGGAUAGCAGAAGAGUCACCUUCCAACCAAAGGCAAUGCUAACCCAGCUGAUAUGCAAACUCGACACAAUAAUAGUUGCUGAUAAUUUUGCAAAAAAUGAGUUGCAAUGACCAAUCCAUUGAUAAAAACCACCAAGAAACUAACCAUGGCAAUCCCUAAAAACUCCUCCACAUAAAAUUAUAAAUGAAGUGUGAUGAGAAUAUAAGAAUCUAAUUAGUAAGGUGAUUGGUGAGUUACAUUUUGGAUUUGUAUAACCAUCAAUGUUUCUAUGCUGAUUUCAUUAUUAUGUGAUUUUCAGUUAAAGACUAAUUUUGUUUUCCUAUCAUGUUCACUUAGAGGUGUUAUGCUAGAGUUGGAAGGCACUAUAGUGGUAGAAUUGCAAUCCGCUUGACAUGGAAAGGUAGUCUUCGUGCAACCACUCUAACCAAAUACUUUACUAAUGCUUUUCAACUAUUACAAUAAUAUUUGUGAUAUAUUUUUUUACGUCUUUUAGAUUUGUUUACCUUACGAAUGCAACGAUUAAGGUGUUACAAAUUUCGAGGAUGAAAUUUAUUUGAAGAAGGGUAAAUUGUAAUACCCCGCAUUAAAAAAACAGAAUAUAUAUAUAUGUGUGUGUGUGUGUGUGUGUGUGUGUCUAAGUAAUUAUUUUUAUUUCAAAUGUAAUAACUGUAUUGGAUUUCUUUAUAUAUGCUAUGAGUACAAAAGAAAACCCUCGUAUUUUGUGAUAUAUUUUUUUACGUCUUUUAGAUUUGUUUACCUUACGAAUGCAACGAUUAAGGUGUUACAAAUUUCGAGGACGAAAUUUAUUUGAAGGAGGGUAAAUUGUAAUACCCCGUAUUAAAAAAAACAGAAUAUAUAUAUAUAUAUAUAUAUAUAUAUAUAUAUAUAUAUAUAUAUUGUGUGUGUGUGUGUGUGUGCGCGCGCGCGCGCACGCGCGCGUGUGUCUAAGUAAUUAUUUUUAUUUCAAAUGUAAUAACUGUAUUGGAUUUCUUUAUAUACGCUAUGAGUACAAAAAAAAACCCUCGUAUUUUUGGCAUGUAAGUUAGUAGGAAUUCUUUCACUACAAGAAUAAAUUAAGGCCUGACUAGUACUUUUAAGACCCCGUCUGACGAGUUUUGCCCGACUAUUCUUUUCUGACGAACCUCUGUCGAGUAAAGUUUCCAGCGAUGAGUCCUCCUUUUAGCCAACAAAGAUUUUCCCUCUGGCAAAGAGGUUUUUUUAUUUUUUAUUUUUUUAUAUGUGUGUGUGUGUAGUGUGUACUGGAAAUAUGCAUGUAGCUGCUUGAAUUUAGUUGAUUGUUGUUAUCAUUCAUUAUUGUGUUUACACCUCUUGAGAAAAAUAAUUUCUACAGGAUUUUUGCCCAAACGAUGUCUGAAUUUGCAUCACAUGUCAAGAGACAUGCUAGUUUGAUCAAAAUAGGGACUAGUAGUGGAGCCCACUUCACAUCGAACAUCACCGAUCGGAACCGUUUAUUUUUCAAGUUGCAUUUUAUAGAUUGUCCUUGCAAAAUAUUAGCCAAAUCGAAGAUGUUCGAGGCAUCUAAUUGAGUUCAAAGAAAUUGACGAACACUAUGUUCCAAAAAACAUUGAAAUUUUAUUAUGACAUUCAAAUGAGUAAAUGGUUUCUGAUUGACUUGAUUUUUUUCAAGGAUGAUCUAUAAAUGAAGACUUACAAAAUAGACGGUUCGGAUAAUUGAAGUUCGUUGUAUAAUUGGCCCUAUAACCAGUGGCGGAUUCAGGAUUCGAACAUCGGGUGGUCCUAAUCAAGCUACGCUAGGUCCAAGUCGGGCGGCGGGAUGGGGCUUAGCGCCUAUGCGCCUUGACGAGGCCUAGGCAGGGGCAUAGCCAUGUAUUCGGCGGAUUUAAGUAAAUUAUUAUAUAUCAUAUAUAAAUAAAUGCCUAUUUACACUUAAAAACUGUACUUGUAUUGAGAAUUUGAGUUUAUUAUUUUAAUUAGGUUUAUUAUUUAACAUGUAACAUACAAAAUAUCAAAAAAAAACUCUUUAGUAUUUUUGUGAAUUUGAUGGUACGAGAUGAAAGUUAAAGUGAUUACGAGUUCAUAAUACACGAAAUAUUUUUCAAAGUUGAAAAGUUUUUUAUCACCUACUGGCUCACUUUACAACCAACCCCAAACUUUUAAAAUCUCACAUACAGUACAGUAACCUAAACAGUAUAUCAACAUUUGAUAAAGUUUAAGAAUAAUAACUCCAACUCGCUUGAAGAACUCAAAAUCUAUAUCUAUACUUAUCAUACAUACUAUUAAUUAAUUUCAAAAAAUUGACAGGUCGUUUCUUUUAAUUUCAAAAUGGCGGAUGUCGUUUUUAUUUAAUGAAAGGAUAAACAGUGUUGUCUUGUUCAAGAUUUUUAACUGACAGCUUUUUCUUUCCCCGUUUUCUUCCUUGCCCUCGCGCUCGGGACUAUGAAUGAAUCUACCCCUGCCCCUAACUAGUCCCCAUUUUUACAAAAAAAAAAAAAAAAAAAAAAAAAAAAAAAAAAUUACUGAAGAUCCUCUUGAGAUAGGUAGGACUAACAUUUUCAAUAGGCGCAUGCACUUUUAUAUAAAAAGGGACAUUAUAUUGUAUCUGGAUUUUAUGGCUAAAGACGUACAUAUGAAUACAAUAUAGGAUAUUGACGCAUCAUAUGUUGCAUGUUGUAUUAAAUGUUUUGUUGAUUGUGGACCUGCAUGAGCUUACAAAAUGUAUUAUUUACUUGAUUCUUUGUAUUCGAAAUAGCGAAUUUGACGGUUAACAAAAAGAAUGCUACUACACCCACCCUAAUGUCUUAUUUUCCCACCCUAAUUUUUAUUAAAAUUUUAAUGACUAAUUUAUCCUCUCAUAAAAUAACAUAUAAGGACAUGCAAAAAGGCAAUGCUUCCGUUUCAGUCUCAUUCGAGCUCUCUCAGUCAUUUCUGAAACUCCAACCUCCAUAUUAAUGGACAAUGCAAUUGUGAUCAACGUUAUGAAGCGAACUGGAUCUUGUGGACAGGUGACUCAAGUGAAGGUCAAGUUUCUAUUACUUUAUGUCGGUUAAUGGCGAGGAGAGAGGAAGGGGAUGAGGCAUUUGGAGGGAAGACGAUUAUUGCGGAUUGAGAUGCCAUUGCAGCUGCCACUGCCAAACCCACUAGGCGAUGCUAGGAGGUGGUAUCUUUGAUUGGGAUUGGGAUUGGGAUUUGAUUUGGAUUUGGAGGAUGGACAUAUCCAUUGGCAACCAGUUUUGAUUCCACUUUUGGUACUUCGUUUCUUGCCUUGCCUUCGCCUACAUUUGCUUCUGUGGCUCUGGGCACUUGGGCACCAACCAAGCACAGGCAGGGCAUGCAAAUUGCAAUGGAAGUGCAAAGUAUGUGUAUGAUUGUAUCAAAAGUGACCGGUGAGCUCGGCUUUUUCCUUUCUAUUUUGUUUCAAAAUUAUUUCAUAUUUGGAAAUUCAAAGAAUUGAAAACAGAAUGGAGGACAUGUUACUGGAAGUCUGGAAGGAAAUCAGGCAUUGAUAUGAUAGUAUUUGGGGGUUUUUAAGCGAUCAGUAACGAUGGGAUAUGAGGCCAUUGAUCAAGGUGUUGGGGGUAAGGGCGCUUUGGGAAUAACAGUGGGUGGAAAAAUAGUGUGGUUUUCUUUUUACUUUUUUUGUUGGGUGGGAAUAAAAGGUGGGUGAGAAGAUCAGAUAUUGAGAUGAGUAUAACACCACUCAACAAAAAUGACAUAUAAAUUAUAAUAUACCGAAAAUGUCCUAUCAUACUCUUAUGCGUCAGCCCGUGACAUAAGUCGGUGGAUGUUCACGAAUGGGGAACAAAAAUAAAUCCUGAUUUUUUGGCCGAAAAAAAAAGAAGAUAUUAUCUUUGGGCCAGAAGUUAUGAGUUUCCGUUGUGGGCCAGAGCCCAGAGACUUCGGCCGGUUCGUUCUUAACAGAAAGGACGACGUCGUAUCGCCCUCCUCUUAUACUGUUCUGUUCCCUGUUUGGCAGAUCGGAUAGAGGAUCGGAUAGGACUAAUUAUACGAACGCGGGUGUUUGGCGUUCACUCGUACUAAAUAAGCGCCGGAUUAAAUUAACCGGUGUGCUUAUUUAGUACGGUAUACACCGGACUAAUAAAACCAACCAAAAGGCCCGGAUUAUUAGUCGGCCCUCUCUCUCUCUUGCCUUCUCUCGGCCUUCUCUCUCUCUCUCUCUCUCUCUCUCUCUCUCUCUCUCUCUCUAGGCGUCGUUGUCCUCCCCCCCCGUCACCUUCUCUCACCAUCGUCGUCCUCCCCGUCGCCGUCGUCGUCCUCCCCUGCAACUGGGUCUUGCAAAGAAGCAUGCACUCUCUUGCCCGGCAUGGUGUCUGGGAAACCUCUCUUCUCAAAACGCCAACAAACUACUCUCCUUCUCUCUGUCAAACCGCCGCCAGUCCAUUCCACUUGCGAUGCUGCAGUGCAGGAGGUAACCUUGUCAACAAAUCGUUAGUUUGUUUCGUUUGUUGCAUCUUGAUUUGGGUUGAUGUGGAUCUGAUGACUCAUGGUUGCUCACCAAAUGUGCAGGCAGGCGGGGAAGAAGAAGGGAGAGAGAAGGAGGGCGUUUGAGGGGUUCGGCGGAGAGAACAGGCAAGAAGAAGGGAUGGUUUCAGAUUUUAUUUUUAUUUUUAUAAGUUUAAUUUAAUUUUAAGUUUGAUUUAGCCUAUCCGGUAUAAAACUAAACACAGUAUAAAUAAUACGGUCAUUAAUCCGAUACUGCACCAAACGCCCGACUAAUUUAGUCAGUACUAUCCGGUGGCUAUUUAUCCUAUCCGACAGAAAUAGUCAGUACAGUCCGAGCUGCCAAACGAGGCCUUAGUGUUUCCCUCCAUUUUCCACUUUCUACUUUACGAAGCAAGAAGCAACGCUGCAGAGAGAGAGAGAGAGAGAGAGAGAGAGAGAGAGAGAGAGCUCAGGAGUCGGGAGUGACGAUUCGCAGUCGCACCUCUACAAUUUCGUCCCGAACCGAAAACGAUCAACACCUGUAAGCUCCUUAGUCCUUAUCUCAGAUUCAUUAAUUCCUGAUACAGUUAGUUUGUAGUUAGAUUUUUUUCUUGGAAUUGAAUUUUCUUGAUGAGAAUAUUUUCGAGAAUCGAAUUGCUUGAUUGAUUAGGAGAAUCUAAGUAGAUAGUGUAAUGCACUUCCUUCGUGUUUGAUGCGAUGAAGCAUUUCUUGAACUGGAGGAAAUUGUUGCGUUUUUUUUUAAUUUUUUUUUAUUACAGCGUUGCAAUUUUUAAUUGGGGCAAUUCUUCUUCAAUUUAGGGUUGAAAAUUUAUGUCUGCACUAUAGCCUCCCAGUUGAUAACAUAAAAUCUUGUAUAAGUAAGAUAGAUUAAAGAAAACUUAGGAAACGACCAAGAAUUGGGUUUGAGGACCACUCAUUUAUGGAAUAUAUAUGUAUACUGUAUUUGUAGAUUAAGAAUUUGCUCCUGCACUUUCCUGGAUUAAUGAUAAAAUUCAUCUUAUGGUAGUUAAUGAUGAGAAGGGCAAGGAGUUGAUUGUGUGACUGUAUAUAUCUUGAGAGCAUGCUCGAAAGGAGAGGGAUGUCGAGGGAGUAGAAAGUACUCGUCUCAGACUUGUCCAUUUUCAUGGUUCAUGCGUACGUUUAUAAAAUGGAAAGCCUAUUGGAAGGCUGGAGAACCUAGGAGAUGCAUAUAAAAUGAAAGCCUAUUAGAAGCUUUUUACGGGCCUAUCAGAUCAUAUAUAAGAUUUUUUUUUACUCUUGCAGGUUUUGGUUCAAUAUGGAGGUGCAUAUUCAGCCAAUAACAUGCCCCAUCACAAAUAUCGUCAUUUGGGAGCCUAAGAUUGAAGAAAAUGCUAAAAAGUUCUCAAGGUAUCUCUCGGAUUAUGAAGAGUUGCAGAUUCUUGGCGAAGGGUCCUUUGGGGUCGUAGCGCGCUGCAGUAACUUAUUAGACAACAAAGUCUAUGCGGCAAAGAAAAUUACUCUAGGGGUUCGUUCUUUGGACUUUGAGACCAUCCAACGGUAAGAAACUAAGAAUUUGGAAUUUACCGUGAAAUUCUAUUUGUAUUUUUAGGCUAUUGUAUUUUUUUCGUUUAACUAAAAAGGUAUUCUAGAGGUCGCACUUGGUGCGAUGGCAAGUGCCUUCGCCCAUGAGUGGUAGGUCUCGGGUUCGAGACUUGGGAGCAGCCUCUCCAUAAAUGGGGGUAAGGCUAGCCGACAUUCACCUCUCCCAGACCCUGCGUAAAGCGGGAGCCUUGUGCACUGGGUACGACCUUUAACUAAAAAGGUAUUCUAUGUACAUGUGCAGCGAGGUUGCAAUUGUAUCGGGAUUAAAACACCAAAAUGUGGUGCAAUACUACACCUCUUGGACUGAUCUGACUUUUGCUGGUGGGAGAGAUCAACUUGAACAGGAAGAAGGCUUGCGUAUGGAUGAUGAUGGAAGUAACAGUUCGCUUGAAGAAGGACCUGGGAAUACGAACAACAAAGAGAAGCAGCAACUUCCAUGCUUGUACAUUGUACAAGAAUGUUGUGAAAGGUACCAGAUUGAGACUACCUAAACAUAUGUGUUCUGUAUUUUUUUUCCUAUGUUAACUUUGUUUGGUUAAUCCUCUUUUGCAGAAAUUUGAGUAAUGAGCUAUUGAAGAGGGAGGGUAACAUGGCAUGGGAUGAGGCAUUGCCUGUUUUCACAGACAUAACAAGAGGGUUGCUGUACAUCCAUGGGAAUGGUAUAGUGCAUGGAGAUCUGAAUCCGUCAAAUGUACUUGUAAAAGACAAUGAAUGGAAGAUAGGAGAUUUCGGGAUUGGUAAGUGUUUUGAAUUUGUUUAUUAGUAAAAGUAAAAGAUGGUGUAAACUUUUGGGAAAUUAUUUAAAGCACCUGUUUAUGCAGCACGAAAGUGGGUAAUUCUUUCGGGGAUGAGGAGAUAGAAGAAGAAUUUAAAGGUCGGAUGUAUGAUGCCCCCGAAGAUAAAGUGGAUUUCAAGAGGGACAUGUUCAGCCUUGGUAUGAUUCUAGUGGAGCUGAUUGCACAACCAGGGACAGUUGCUGAAAAGUGUGCCAUUCUCAACGGCUUUAAGAAGGACGGAAUACUUCCUGAGAAAGUGAGUGGCCAUCCACUUAAGAGCCUUGCGCUGAAGCUUUUGGACAACGACCCUGCAAAGAGGCCUUCGCCGGCAGAGGUUUUGGAUGAUAUCACUGCUUAGGACGCACAUGGACAUAACUGUUUUGUUGUUGUAUAGUGCCACUCCACACAUUCACUCACUCGUCCACAUUAUGCUGAAGUAGGUAUAUUCAAUAUCGUGAUACCAAGUGUUUCUUGUUAUACAAAUGUUUCAGGCUUUGUUAUAUACUUGAUUGGUUGGUUGAAAUUGAUCACAAUAUAUACAAUGAAAUUGAUUGGUUGUAUGUAUGGUGAAAGGCAGUACAUAUAUAUAUAUAUAUAUAUAUAUAUAUAUAUAUAUAUAAUCUUGUAGAGUGUUUUGACGUCCAUGAUUAAAUGUGUUUUUAGAAUUCUAUCCUUUGGGAUACUCGUUGUAUGAAAUUAGCAACCUAAAAUUAAGCUACUAAUUACACGUUUUAAACUCGCAAGUACACAAAAUCAAACACAGUAUAGAAACCAAGUAUGAGGUUAUUCCCACGACGAUUGCACUAAUAUGUUAUCUUCCCAACAAUUUAAAUUAAUUCUUUCACAAAAGCUAUCAAAUAUGCACAAAAAUGAUUUAACAAACUAGUUUGAGAUGACUUGAAUCUGAAAGUAUAAAAGCACAGUUUUUACGGAACUAGGCAAAGAAAAGUUGGCAACAAGGGUUUUAAAAAUAAUGUCCGAAGGCUUUUAGGUUUCAAUCUCUAAUCUUUUUCACCUAACCAAUCGACACACACAAUGACACAAAGCAAAUAGAUGCUUAACGUUUAUCAACCUAAAGGCAUGACUGAUUUCCCUAAACAACAAAGUAGGCAUUGGUGUCCAUACACUAACUCUUUUCAUUCUCGAACUAUUUAGCAUGGUAUCUAAUAAGUUGCACUCCGAGAAAGCAUAAUACAAUGGAAAUCGACAAACACACGAAUCGUAGAACAUGGUAUCUAUUCCGGUUAUUUAUGAUAAUUAAUUUCAGGAAACGUAACUAGUUCUCUUGUUACUUGGCAUAGGUACAAGACUCAAUCUUCCAAAUUUGCUUAUGUAACGAACUCAAAUUACAAAGCUAUCCUACGGUGAUCUGACGUAGAAUAACUCCUAUGGUGCCUGCUCUCUUCUUUCGUUAUAUCCCUUCUUUUUCUGUUUUAUUCCCCGCUGCCCUGCUGCUCAACUGACCAGGGAUAUACAUCCCUUUUACUUGUAACCGAGAAGGCUAAUAGCCUUCUUUUCCCUUGUCUCCUAAUAAGCUUAAGGUCCCAUAAGAUCGAAACUCCUUAUUUAUUUGCUUCUUCGUCUUCUUCCAACUGGUUAAUCUAACAUAAAAAAAAAAAAAAAAAAAAAAAAAAAAAAAAAGGAAAAAAGACUGCUCGAACUCCUUAUACAUAGGUAUUUUAACCCUCCUUUAAUCUGCCAAGCAGUAAAAAACUUUAAUUCGCUCGCAGUCCGACCUUCAUGUACUAAAACUGUCAUAACGCCCUUUAGAAAAAUUAUACUAACGAACCGCAAAAUUCUAUAGAAAAUAGAACCCGUAGGUUUCCAAGCGUGCAUGGCUCAUUCCUAGUUCUUCCCGAGUCGGUAAAGUGUAUUUCACGAACUCGACUGAUCUGCACAAGCUGUGCUGACCACAUAUGAUUGUAAAAGCCUUUUUAGUCUCCAUGCUUUCUUUUUAACUCAUUCUCUACUCUUUGCUUGUUACAACCUAUAAAACACAAAUAGAAUGAAAAACCUAUAUAAAAGAGCAAAACAAAGGUGCAAACAAGGACAAUUCUUAUGUAUAUAAUGACGAGUUAAUGAGCACAACACUUGUACGUAUGUGUGCUGUAUGCAUAUGUCCAACUUUGGUCGACUAGUUUCGGAGAUUAGCUUAAAAUUUAAGGAAAAUUAAUGAAAAUGGUUUGAAAAUUUUGAGUUUUAACGAUAAGGAAAAAUAAAGGGUAAAAUGAAUAGUACCAAGUUGACUUUUUGUUGUAAAAAUGUGAUUUUUCGUUAAAGUGAACAGUACCACGGACUUUUCAUUAAAACUUCCUAAAAUUUAUGUGUUGCGUUGCAUAGUUAAUCAAAACAGAUGUACAGUGGGCCAAGCCUAAUGAGUAUUAAAUGUAUAAUGGGCUCAGUGUAUAGAAAAUGUGUGCUGGGUGGGCCUAAGAUCCGAUCACCACCUUUGGGAGAGAAUAUUUUAUUUUAGUUUCCACUUAAUUUCAAACAAAUUUUAGUCAUUCACACAAUCUAACGGCUUUGAGAGUUCCGCAUAAACUUCCGUAGCCAUCCGCACCACAAUUCACUUGACAAGCCCUGAAAUGUGAGUUGUGCUUAUUUUAGCGUGAAUAGUAGUUAGAGUGGUAGAGUUUGACGAAUAGGCAUGGAUUUGAAUGGGCAUGACGUGAUUUAUACAAACGUCCGGUUUAUUUAUCAUAGCGUGGUAUGGUUAUAAAUAUUCUCCUUUCGCGUCGUAUGGUUAUUUGUCAUAGCAUGGUAUAGCUAAGAUGUGGCUCACGCCCUAACUCGUAAAUAGUCCUUAUUCGCAGGUCGGGGUGUUACAAAAUUGAAUUCUAGUUUAACUAAUUUCUUGAAAUUCUAGCGACAUAUAACUCAAGUCCUUUUCUUUUCAUUUGGUUCUCCAUCACUUAAGCGGGGCUUGUGAAAACACCAAACUGAACGAAUUUUCAAAACCUUAAUACCAGCCCUCUAAUCUUACCUCAGAGCGUUGAGUUCGAUUCACUGAUCAUGCAAACCGUUCGUAAUUCGGACUCCCGGGUUAAAACUUACAAAUCUUGGAAGAUUAAUAGAACUUUUCCUUUCUCUGUUUUUUAUUUUUCUUCUGUUUGCAGCGACUGAAUGAAGAACAAAGAUGGGAUUAAUCCCAUGCCGCCUCACCCCUUUGAUUUACGGUCCAAUGGCAGCUUGCCACUUGUCAAACUUGAAAGAAAAUCUACACCUGUCUUUCUUUUUUCUUCUUGUCUUUCUUUUCUUUGAUCUUAGAUUCUUAAUGACCAGCCCUCUAAUCUUAACAAGGUGAUCAGCGCCCCCUUUUUCUUCUUUGUAUACUUUAGUUUCACCUAUGCAUUUUCUCUCUUAUCUCUAACACAAUGAAAACUAAAACGAAAUGGGAAACAAAUAAUCUCCAAAUAUGAAAAUAAGCAUAAGCUUGACAACUAAUGUUUCUUGAAAAUAAGCAUUUUCACCUCGAGCCCAGAGCCGUGAGGGUUCUCUCCAUCUUGCUCUCAAACCUUAGCCUAUCUCAACUUCAAUUCUCUACCAUCAUCACAAAAUCAAAACUACGGUGGACCUCUCGAAUCAAAGAUAACCCCAGCCAUCAGAUUGUACUAUCGCCAUGGAAAUGUCGACGCUUCCGAGGCUCAGAAAUUCGAAAUCCCAGCAAUCAUAAAGGUAAUUGUCCUUCCCCGUAUAUCUGAUUUUCGUGAGCGUUCUUCAAAGUGUAGGUCAGAAAGAAAACAAGGAAAAAUUAUCUCAUGCAUGUGUGCUAUCUGUGCAGGAGUCCUGGAUCUGUGAAACCAAUGGCGGAACCAGGAAUUGACAGGAGGAUAGGCGAAGUUAAAAGAGUGCAAGGUUCAAAAGAAUAGUAACAACCAAAUCCUUUAAAUAGUAAUGUCUUCCAUAAUUUAUCAAUACAAACAAAUUACAAUUAUUGCCGACGAGGUUUCAUAUCAUGAAAACGCCGCAUAAUAGGCUCAUUAUCAAUAAAAGCAAAUACAUAUCUCUCAAUGUAAACAAGCAUGCUAUCACUCAACCAUUGAUCUCCUAUUUGUUACGCAAUGGUGUUUUCACAAUUUUCAUAGCAGAAAAAGCUCUCUCCACCGAAGCGGUUGCAACUGGUAACAUCAAAGCCAAUGUAAGAAGCUUAUACACUAACAUAUAGCUUGCAUACCUCCCGAUCUUCACCAACUCCUUUGCAAGAUCACCAAUUCAUUUCAAUGAUGAAAACUCACUAUGCAUCUUCAUAUCGUGAAUGUAAUUGUCAAGUUGAAUUGGAAGAUUCAUGAGGUCCAUACAAUCAAAAUCUUGAGAAUAAAGUUGGGCUAGACGAACAAUUUUUGCUUUGUCAAAAUAUGCAAAAUUAUUCACUGGACUCAAACAUGCCAUACAAAGAAGCAAUUCGGUGUUUACCUCAUUGAAGCGAUCAUUCAAUUCCUUUAAUUGUGUAUCAAGGACUUGAAAAUAGAGGUCCACAUGAUAGUAAUGGAAGUUUAUGAGUCUUAGAGCUUUACGUCUUGAUUUUCCGGGUACAAAACGCAAAUCCUCCAUGUUAGGAACGACAAUAUCAUGCUCUUGACAAAACUUUUGUACAUCAUCAAGCAAGUCCCCAAAGUCAUCAUCUCUCAAGGAUUGUAGUCUUUGCUUGCAUACUUCCACUAACGCCAUCGCAUUCACAAUAUCUUGAUCUUUCUUUUGUAAUGCUUGUGAUAAUUCAUUUGUAAUUCCCAAUAUGAGUCUCAUAAAAAAAAGGUGAAACACAAAAUCAAAAGUUUGUAUGUCAUGGAAUAACUUACUUACUUCAUCAAAAUUGUCUUGGUUGGUAUCAUCCUUAAUCCAUUCAAGCACCUCCACCACAGCUUCAAACAUGACAAUAAUACUAACUAUAAUACCAUAAUGUGAGUUCCAACGUGUAUCACAAGGAUGCAUGAGACUAAUCUCUUGAUUUAACCCUUUACCCCUUUCAAGAUCACCAAUAUCAAGAGCUUUCUUAAUUUGUUCUAGUUGUUUCUCUCUAAAUGCGUCACGACGCUUACACGAUGAUCCAAUAGUAUUGACCAAAAUACUAGCAUUGUUGAAGAAAAUGGCGACACCCUCAAUUCCCUUUGCAACGGCUACAAGAGCUAGUUGAAGUUGGUGUGCAAAACAAUGAACAUAAAAUGCUUAAGGAUACUUGUUCAAAAUCUUUGCUUUAAGGCCAUUUAGUUCUCCUUUCAUAUUACUAGCUCCAACAUAGCCUUGUUCCCGUAACUUAGACAUACUCAAAUUUGUUGAAGCAAAUAAUCUCUCAAUGGUCUCUUCAAGCGAGCUACUAGUUGUAGAGGAGACAUGUUGCACACCAAAAAUCCUUCAUACUCAAAUUCUUGAUUGCCUCUUGAAGGUAACAUAGGUGACGGUAGUGGUAGUCAAUUCUACCGGUAUCAAGAAGAGCCUCGUCAAUUGAUAGUUUUGGAUUAUUCGACUCUGAUACACCUACUUACAUAUUAUUGCACAAAAAUUAAAUUUAGCUUUUUCCUCUAAAAAUAUAAAAAAAAAACAUGCAGUUUUAGUUAACACCAUUAUAAAUAUGUGAAACUUUUGCAAUUAAUCAAGGCUUAAAAGUACGUAUUACAUACCAUUCUCAGUAAUAUAAAUGAGUGGAUCAUUAUAUUUUUCCUUUGUGUAGAGCACAAGAUCGUGAAUUCCUUUUGGAUAUACAUAUAACCAAUCUGAAGCAGUCUGCAACACCAUUUCAAGAUAAUACGUAAAUGUUGGGGAAAAAAGCUAAUCCUCCAAAUGCAAAUAGCUCAAAAUGAUAAAUUUGAUGUAUACCUGUGGACCAAUAAGUAUUCCAUUAAGCUCAGCUGCCACAAUAUUUACAAACAUUAGAAUACAAUUGGUGUAAAUAUUAGAAUAUAAUUAAUGUAAUUAAGAGGUUAAACUAGGUCAAGAAGAACAAAGAACUGAAGCUAUUCAAAGUAAGUUUCCUUUGGCACUCACUUGGAAGAUCAGCUCGAGGAUCUGUUACGAAGCUUGCCUGUAGUGAAUUGUUCUUAGGUGUACUAGUUGUGUAUCUAGCAGUAUAAUAAUUUAUUCCAAGAAAAUCAAAUGAUCCGUUCAGCAACUUGGAUUGUUCUUUUGUGAAUUUUGGCAAUCUUUUUCCAACAAUUGAUCGCAUGCUGUGUGGAUAGUCACCACUUGUUAAAGGGUCCAAAAACCUACAAACAAGAAAAUUCCAAAUAUUAGCCUAAUUAUAGCAUUAUAGAUAAAUAGUACUGCUAGCUAGGUAGUAUCAAUGUUACAAGUCAUAAGUAAACAUGAUGUAAUUGGGUUUAUGUAUAAUUUAAUAAGACACUUGCCAUCCAAACAUAAAAUCCAAAGAUCGUAAGGCAGCAUCUUUAUCUUGCUUUGACUCCGAAGCAGGCUCAAACCAGUAUGACACCAAUGUUAUCCCUAUCAAGCCUUUCUGAGAUGCCUACACAAAAAUAUGAAUUUUGGUUGAAUAAAUAGGAGUUAUAGAAAAAGAUACAACCAUUAGAUUAUCUUACUAUUGAGAGUAUUCCCCCUUGUAUUACAACUCAAUAAUAAAGAUUCAUAUAGAAUUCUCGAUUAGGAGCCAAUAAUCUGACCCAAAAAAACAAAAUUAAAAAAAAUUAAAAAAAAAAGCAGUUAUUGAACCUGAUAUCUAUUCCUGUACAAUUCUACAGCUGCUCCAUGAGCAAGAAGAAUGUGGUGUGUCACCAAGUAUGGUUCAAUGGCUGAAUCUCCACCGGUGCAGUUUAGGUUUUGCCAAGAAGAGCAGCGUCCCGGUGCUAGAGUCCCAACAGCAUAACCCAUGCUACUAAAAGUAUAUGGCUCAUUUACUGUGAACCAGUGCUUGACUCGAUCACCAAAUUCCUUAUAACAAAGUUCAGCAUAGUCUUUAAAAUGAUAUCUGUAGAUACAAAUUUAUGUUACGUAUAUCAGUAUGUAUUUUAUCAAAUUAUCAACGAGAAAAUAAAUUUUGGUCACUUACACAAUACGAGGGCUUAAGAAACCACCAUAUUCAUCUUCUAAAGCUUGGGGAACAUCCCAAUGAAAGAGUGUUACAAACGGCUUUAAACCUAUAAUACAUGAUCAGUAAAAUCAAAUUAAAAGUCUGAUUGAAUGAUGUUCUAAAAAUUCAUGUAAUAAUUGUUUAAGGUAGGAUGAUUAACCAUUGCGUAGGAGUUCAUUGAUGAGAUUGUUGUAAUAAUCAAUUCCUUUCCUGUUAACGCCACCACUUAACGUUCCAUCUAAUUAGAACAAAAAUAACAAGAAAAAAAAAGGGUUACCCAGUAGAUAACUCGAUCACAUUACUUUAGUUAAAAGUAUAUAAAGAGAAUAAUUCUCUUGUAGGCAAAAUAAUUCUUAUGCACAAUAUUGUCAAUGGUCCCAACCAAAAAACGAGAACGUGGAGCAACUUACUUGGUAAUAAUCUGGACCAUGAUAUAGAUAAUAUGUAAGCAUCCAAAUUCAUAUCCUUCAUAAUCCCCACAUCUUCCUAGAAUGACAAAAGUUUAAGAGUAAAUUGUAGCUAUGGUCCCUUAACUUUAACUCAAUUGGAGCAAUGGUCCUUCAACUAAAAAUCCAUUACCUUUGGUCCCUCAACUUAUCAAAACGUGCAGUUAUGGUCCCUCAACUAAAAAUCCAUUACCAUUGGUCCCUGAACUUUAAUUCAAGUGGAGAAAUGGUCCUUUAACUUUAAUCCAAUUGUAGCAAUGGUCCUUACAAUAUAACUCGUUUUGACAAAUUUUUUGACAUAGUUGACGAAAAGAACCAUAAUUAUACACUUUGAUGAGUUGAGGGACCCUAAUUAUAUAAAUGGUCAUUCCAACAUAGCUUAUUUUGACAAAAUUUUGACAAAAUUGAUGAAAAGGACUAUAGCUACACAUUUUGAUAAGUUGAGGGACCAAUGGUAAUGGAUUUUUAGUUGAGGGACCAUUGCUCCAAUUUGAUUAAAGUUGAGGGACCAUUUGUACAAUUUACUCAAAGUUUAAAAUUAAAUAUUGAGGAUCUCAUUAUAUAUUGUUUUUUUUUUUUGUAAAGGCUCCAAUUUAAUAUGUUAACAUGUGCCCUUCAAGUAUAAAGUGUCAAGAGACAAGGUUAUGAGGUUUUAGACCUUAUAGCGGUGACAUUGAUCAAUAGCGACGUUUCAGUUACUGCCAUCAGUGAUUUUUUCUGCAGUUAUUCAAAAACAUAAUGGUGAAAUCCAUAUCAUGUGCAAAGUACUUUAUAUGCGUGCGCACCGAUGAAGUAUUACAUAUAUUGUACAUAUCACAUGACCACGUACUAUUGGUCUCCCAACAAAGUGCAUGGCUAUUAGAGAGGUUGGAGUUUACUUGUCCUCACGAAGAAAAGAAUGAGGUGCUAUUUCUACUCCUUUGAAAUGAAGUAGCAAAAGUUUUCAUAUUACCAAUUGAUUAAAUCACAGACCUGGAUGUUUGUGGGUGAAGGAAUCCCAUAUGCUUGGUCCUCUUCCAUCUUCUUUUACUGCACCUUCGUACUGAAAUACACACACAUGCAUAUACGUAAGAGUACUACUACACACGCAAGGAAGAUGACAACAUUAUAAUUCAUGCAUGGAUGCUAACUGCAUGUAUAAAAUACACCAAAAAUAUGGUAAAUAAAGACAGAAGAUAUAUAUAUAUAUACUGACCUGGUAAGAUGCGGAACCUGUGCCAAAUAUGAACCCUGAUUCAAAACUGCUGCGAUUGAGAAAUUCGCAAUGAACAGGUGGAUCUGUAUUAGUUGCUUUGCCAUUUGUCAAUGCAAAGCCAAUGAGUAGCAGCACACCAAAGAGCAAAGAUCAUGAAUAUUUCAUUGCCGUAACUUGGGAGUUUUGAUAUCGAUCGAGAUAAUUAAGUUAUCUCCUCCGGGAAUAUUGCAUGGGGUUUAUAUAGAGAAAGGGAGGAAGGGAUAUGGUGUCUACGUACUAGCUCAUGAGAAUAGUAAAGGGUUAAAAUUUGUAAACAAAAUUGGCCUUGAAAGUCCUAGUUUAAAGACCAAGUCAUGGUAUGUUUCAAAAAAAAAAAAAAAAAGACCAAGUCAUGGUCUGUAGUUUAAAAGAAAGCACGUUCCAUGUUUCCAAAAGUUGCGUAUAUAUGCACGUAAAAGAACGGAUGAUCCUUGCGUUCCACCUGAGGAAUGCACAUAUUCCACAAAUUUUAUAUUGUGAUCGUUUAGUUUCUUAAUCUUUAUUUGAAAAUCAUCUAAACAAAAAGAAUUAUUUGAAUCUAAGAUAGUUUAGUCAUUUAAAUAUAUGAACCCAAUCGACAUUGUUGAUACUAAGUAAAAGACUUAUAUUGAACUAUUCAUUUUAUUGAUAUAUUUGGAUAACUAAACAGUCUUCAAUUUGAAUAGUUUUUGUAUAUAAGAUAUUCAAAUUAAGAUUAAAAAAUUAAUGACUUAUUCAAACAGUAGAAAACUACUUGACCCAGGAAAAAAGUAGAAAUUUGUGACCAGAAUUCUUUACGUAAGUACAUAACCGAUAAAGAUGAAGAAUUUAAUCUUGAUCUUUUUGUUCUUGUUAGAGUUUUAGUAUUGAAUCGGUAAACCCAGUGGUUUGUGAAAUUGUCUUUCCACUCUAAUUAAGAAGGCAUCGAAAUAGCUAGGUUCUCAAGUUGGCUAUUUUGCUCCUAAAGAUUGUGAAAGGAUUCCAUUGGGGUGGCUUUUUCGAAGGUUUGGACACCUUCAAAGUAUAGUACUAGUACAAAAAAUACUUUGCACGACGUAGGACCGUCGUCGCGCAAAGUCAAAAUACGUCGCCCAACAAUUAGCCAAACGAACCUUCGUCGCGCAAGAACUGUCGCUCGAAGGCAGUGAAGGAAGGGUUUGCGCGACGUAGGUAGGCACUGCGUCGCGCAAAGCUACUUUGAGCGACGCAGGUCCUACGUCGCGCAAAGAUACUUUGCGAGAUGCGGUGCCUACCUACGUCGCUCAAAGUAGCUUUGCGCGACGUAGGAUCUACGUCGCGCAAAUAUACUUUGCGCGACGCAGUGUCUACUUACGUCGCGCAAAGUUUUUUUUUUUUUGUCAUUUAUAUUUUUUAAUUUAAUUUUUAAUAAAUAUUAUAAUUAAAUUCUAAAAAAUAAUUAAUAAACCAAGAAAAAGUAAUUAAUUAUAGAAUAUAUGAAAAUGUACGUUUGUCCAAACAAAAAAAUAAAAAACUACAAGUCUUCUAAGUUUAAUACAUCAUACUACUCGGUAUCGUUUGGGAAAAAUGACUGGGAAGUCGAAGGUGGAGCAACAUUAGGUGCUGGCAUCGUCGGGAUUUGGAGGCCGGACAUCGCUAAGGCCUGAACAAUCAUAUUCAUCCUCUCGUCCUGGGCCCUAAUGUGGUCGCCCUGGGCCGCAACCUGACCUCUUAGGGUUGUCACCUCCUCCUUCAAGGAAUUGACCUCUCCUAUGGACAAUCUGGAAGAAGAGGCACCCGUUUCACGAACCCCCGCCUUCCCCGUACACCGACAACCUUACCAUGACGACGGCCGAACUUCUGAUCCAGGACCUCAGUCACGAUCUGAACAUCUGCAUCCUUGGGUACAAUGACGUCCUCGAUCGGGGUCUCUAGGGGAAGCUGCGAUGUUGCUUCUUGGAGAAUAGCAGUGCUCUUUUCCACCAUAUCACCCUGUAAUAAUAAAGAAGAAACAUAUAAUGUUUAAUAACAAAAUAUAAAUAAUAUUUGAACGAUUCAUAAAAAUAAGAAAAAUAACAAUUACAUAUACUUACAUAAAGCUGGUCACUGUUCUCAUUGUUGGGAUGAACGUAAACAUGCUUGAACAGGUCAAUCUGUGGGAACUUAGAACCCUCCUAAAGAAAAAAAAACAUUAAGAAAAUUUUAUUAAUCAAUAAUAUAAAAUAAAUUGUAUAAAAUUUCAAAAUUAAUAUACUUUUACCUCACGUCGUGCCUCAACCCUAUACGAAAAGGGCUUCGAACCAGAAUGGUGGAGAAGUGUCUUUGAGUCCCGAGCUUUCUUGCCAACAGCAGAUUUCUUCUGUUAAACAUACAAUAUAUAUGUUAGUGCGACUAUUUGAAAGAAAUUAUUAAAAAAAGCUUAAAUAAAAUAACAAAAACAAUAAAUUAUUAUUAAAGUAUUAUGUACAUACCAAAAAUUUUGGAUCCGUAAAAUGUGUGCAGAGCCAUUCCCAAUCCUCUCGCCGCUCCUUAUACUCGAGUGGGCAACCCUGUAGGCGAGCAAUCUCCGGAGAUUCCCAUAGCUGAAAAUGCUUGUGAAGAGCGCUCUUCCAAUCUUUGUACCGGCUUGCUAAGGUCUCCUCUAAGUAGGCAUUGACCUCAGGGGAUAUGUCCUCCAUUUCAAAAACGACCUACAAAUAUGAAAAACAAAAUGACAAACAAAAUGACCAUGUAUAAGAAUAAUUGACAACUAGUUUAUAAGAUAUUGAUAAAGUUUGUCGGUUUACAAUAAUAACUAGAAUCUUAAUUUGUUAGGAAGCAAACAAUAUAAUGUUUAUAUUCGGAAAGCAGUGUCAAACCUCAGCUUCACACAAGUGUCAAACCUUUAAUGUUCAAACCAAAAGGUUAACACUCAAAUUAUUUAUCAAAUUCCUUUCCUUAGCACAAUUUCUCAACAAAGGAUUUAACUCGACUAUUUAAGGCUGCUUUCGUAGUUCACUUUAAUAAAUAAAACCAGGACAACAACUAAAAACAAUUCACUAUCAAAUUGAGGCAAAGUCAAGAACCAUACAUAGGACUCGCUCGGUAAAAGAUCGAUUACUUGAUUAGUAUAGCCAGUCCCAAGAAGCACUUAAUGAUUAAAACAAAACAGCAUGUAUAGGCAUAAUGUUUAGGUAUCAUGAUGCUGCUCAACCGGUGGAUACUAUGGAUCAGGUUAACUGAUGCACAACACAAGCAAAGCAAUGUACUAGAGACGGCAUGCAUACUCACCUAAACACUAUCAUAAAUCAUUUAGCAAGGACGUAGACCAAAACUAAAAACCCAUAAAUAUGCAUCAGAUAAGAUAGUAAUCCUUCCACCUAACCAACAUAAUCAUUAUUUAACAAUGGUUCACGGAAUUAUUUUUCAAUUUCCUUCCCAGGAAGCAUUCAGACAACAAAGAACAGUGCCGCAAAUCAUUGAAAUUAACCAAAACUAAAUGACCACACCUGCUCCCAAUUAUGAACAGAAGAAGAGUGUGCAAAAUACAUGACCAAAUUAUUCAUCACAACAACACUCGGCUAUCAGGUGCAAAACAAUGAAAUGCACCUGAUUUCUCUUUCCCUCCUACAUUUUCUUAGCAACCAAACAGAAAUUGAGAGAAAGAUCUUGACUUUACUAAUCAAGAUGAUGGCCCUGCACUAGUUUAAGCAGAGAAAGAUGUUGACUUUGCUAAAAAUUAAAAUACUAACCUCCAAAUUGUCUCACACCAAGGUCCUCGUCUCCUCAGGAAUUUUUGCCCAACUCUCCCACCGCAUAGGACAAAAAUUCCUAAUAAUAAAACCACAGCAAUUAACGACGCUGUUAUGCUGCUGUGAGGUAACCGCUCCACGAUGUCGCUCAUCAUACGCAAUCUUGAUCAAGGAGGCAGACAUACGUACAAGUUGUAGCUCAUUCAACAUUCGAUUGGGCCCCCUGGUGUUUUUUUUAGCUGCCCAAAAAAACUUAAAUGGUAAAAACCCUAAGCUUAAAUUUGUACAGAAAAUUUGGCAAAACCUCCCCUAAUCAUAAAAGUACCUUAAAACAGUAAUUCACAACCCGCAACACAUUUUCACAAUCAUAAAAGUAAUAGUUUUGAAAUGAAACAAAAAAUGCAAAAUAAUGAGAAUUAGAAAAAAACUACCUGGUUGGGAGGCCCCAUCGUCGACUCUGGAGGACGAGGAAGUGUGAUCAGAAGGCUCCGGCUCACGGCGGCGCCGGUGAGGCCGCCGUACACUGAGGGGCUCAACUGACACUGAUGACGUUGAUGAUACGGGCACCUGGGACAUUGUAGGAGUAGCCUCCGUAAGGGGUGUAGGCUCCCCAAUCAAUGGAGCACUCACGCCUGAAGCACUAGAUGCUGAUAAUGCAGGAGUUGCAUUGGACACACUUCGACGACGAGUGAUCAACUGCAACAUCUAUACACUUUAUGAACCAUAAAAAUAUAACAUUAGAAACUAAUCCUUUCUUGCAUUUGAAACUAAUAAAAUAGCAACCAAAAUAAUAUAAGUAAUUAGAGCAAUAAUAUCAAUACAAGAAUAUUUAAACUAAUCCUUUCUUGCAUCUGAACAAACCCUAAAAGAGAAUCACUAUAGAAAGAUCAAAUUAGUUAAACCGUGGCAGUAUGUGUAUUUUGUGAGCAAAAAUGAUAGAUUUUUUCACUGAUUUGUUCCACCUCAUGAAAGGUUUAGAAUAAACUUUACAUGGGAUAUGUGGGUUAUAAUGCAACUGCUCAAAAGUACAGUAUUUAAAUGGUCGGGUCCUGCACUGCUCAAGUCUUUUGAAGUAAAAUUCUCAUCUAAGGUAAUACCGUAAUAGCUCGAGGCAGUGGGUUAAGCAAUCAGGCAUAUCAUAUAUAAGUAUGUGCAUCAAAUGUUUUCUAGUUUCAAUCCCCUGUGAAAAGUUAACACUUCCUACAAAUCUGGAAAAGCCAUAUGCAGGGCUCAUUCUUCAGAACAAGAAUACAGGUUUUUCACAACAACUAUCUAAAAGAACAAGAUUUUCCAGAAUACAUCUAACAUGCAUGAAUACUAUAUGCAAGUCAAUGCCAAUUAAAUAAGCAAAAGGAAAAUUUCUAAAAUGCAAAAUAAAAAUUAACAACAUAAAAUAAGAUAUCUUUUACGAGAAUAAAAUGUUACAAGUUCUUACGUUCUGCAAUAAACUAGCCGAAGAACAAAGUGCGAUAUUAAGUCCUUGUUGACGACCUCAGAUGCCUGAGGAUGCCUCAUAUUUGUCUUCCAUAGUUCUAUUGCCUGUAAAAUGCCAAAAUGUUAAUGCUAUGAGGUUGGUGAAGCCAUGUGACCCUAAUUUAUUUUCUCUUUUUUUUUAUACAAAAAAUUAUACAAAUGGUACAGUUUCAACUGUACAUGUUUAACCUCGGUGUUUUUCAAUUUCAGUUUUACUUCUACCAUCCAUUAAUUUUCCUUUCCAAAAUGAUUUGAAAAAUAAAUCUAUAGCUACUAACGGUUUAUAUGCUUGAUGCUGUUAGACCCUGCAAUCUAAAAAUUUAUGUAAAUGCAGAGGUUUGUCUGAAGGAGAGGCGAUCGAAGAAAUCCAGAAAUCCUUCCAUGGCAUACUUAGUUGUACACCCAUGGCAUGUGUGUUGUAUGCUAGAUGCCCUCUCUCUUUUAACAACACACAAUAGCUUAUGCAAAUGCGCAGAGGACUUCAACAUGUUUCAUUUAAAAUAAAUUUACAUUUUGUAGCAAAUACAUAUGGCGAAAUAGUCCAUAAGUAAUCAUAAUGGCAACCAAAUACAAUAGUUCAAAAACUUCAAUGCAAAUAUAAAUUGCAGAAAAAAAAAACUUGAAUUUCCAAACCCACAAAAUAAAAAAUUCAACCAGAUUAUGUGUAAGAAGAAAUACCAAGAACUGAGAGCUGCAGGCUACCAAAAUGCUCAUGAUCUUGUUUGUGCUGAUGAACUAAAAAACUUGAAAUCAAAUUUACAUAGGUAGAAGUUGAGAUUCCAAUAUGAGACAGAACAAUCCAAAUGAAGAUAAGGCGCCUAAUAUGAAAUCAGGGCUCGAAAAUAAAAUUAAAAUUUUUGGGGCAGGUAAAAAACUAAUCAUUGAUUAAUUAAGACAAAUGACUGAAAUUGUCAACUUUUCAAAUUACGUAUCCUUAGUAAAAAAAAGCGCACACACCUUAAAAGGCUCAUUAUUUGUUCUGAAGCUAAUGCCUGGAACAAACUUCAGCCAAACUGGAAACCCCCUAAAGAAAAUAGAAACAUUAAAAUAGAAAUUCAUUGACGAAACAAAAAACUGCCGAGGAAAAUGAUCAUUCCCAAAAUUCCAUUAUGAACAAAUAUAUGGACCAAUCUUAAGAUGAAUAUAGAGCCCUGCCUUGUAAACCAUCUUUGAGCCAACCAAUUACAAAUCUAAAUAAGAGAUGGCAGAAAAGGAAUAUGCUGGGCAAAUGCUAAACUCAUAUUCCCUCAAAGAUCUGAACCCUCUCUGGUAAAGUGCAUCAAGAAUCAAAUUUAAUAGUUUUUGUUUGAUUCCGAUAUCCAGAAGAGAAAGGGAAACCAGGCCAACCGAAACUGAAAUGUGGAUCUAUACUAAAAUCAACUGCAAAAGCAUUUCGAUUAUCCCAUCUCCCAAACAGUCACACUCCAGCAUGAAAAUAAUCAAUAUUUUCAGCAUUUUUUACCUUAAUAAGAAAUUUACAAGCUAAUCUGAAAAGUACAAGACCGUAUGCCAAUCUCAUUCAGCCCCAUCCCAAAUAUGUGGUUCUUUAAUUUCACACCCUAAACGGUGAACGGUGCAGACUUUUGGUGUAAUCUCAACAGACCCACAUAACCUCAAACCCUCACAAAUCCGAAACCCUAUCAAAUCAGAACCAACAUCCAAUUUUAUCUGGAGAUUUCGACAAAGUACUCAGAAAUCAACAUGCAAUUUGACCCUAUACCCUAAAUAACAAAAACCCUUCGAAAAUGAGAAACCUUUACCUUGAUUUUAGGACCCUAUGUCGCGUCGGCUUCGAGAUUUGGGGGUUGAAGAGGAGAGAGAGGUAUAUGGGAAAGAAAGAGCGAGAGGGAGAGAUGCAGGUCUACGUACGGGAAAGAAAGAGCGAGUGGGAAGAGAGAGGUAUACGGGAAGAGCGAGAUUUGGGGGUUCAAAAGGUUGCCAAACUUGGAGAAUUGAAAACAAGCGCCUAUUUUUCACUAUUGGAGCGCCAAAAUUAUCACAUCAGGCGCGACAUAGGUAUACAAAUUGAGGUUGCGCAAAGUAGUUUUGCGCAUCGACUACAUUAAGACUUCGCGCAAGGUUUUUUUUUUUUUUUUUUUUUAAUAUUAUAAAAAUUACUAUUUACUUCUUUCAAAUUCAAAUUUAUUUUACAUAAACCCCACGAUAAUAUAUUUUUCUAACAAAAACUCACAAUAAUUUUUUUUUUACAUAUAUAUCAUUAAAUUUCUUAAGUGUUAUAAGUACAAAAUAAAUAAAUUAAAAUCAACUUAGUAAAUAUAUAUACCAUUGAACUUGAUGGGAAACGCAUUGUACGAAACUAAUUUCAACUAUCCAACCGUCAAACUUGUUUGUAUAUGCUUCAAGAUCGCAGACGCCAAAAAUUGCAAAAAACAAACAUUCAGAGAUUAUGUAACGGGACAAAACUUUUUUACGGUUAUAAACGAAAAAGCACGAUUUUUCUUUACAAGUUUAUAUUAAUCAUCAUCCGAACUACAAUAAUAAUUCUCGCUAUCCUCAUUACUAUCAUUUCCGGAUUCCCAUUCGUCUUCAUCUUCGUUUGCCUCUUCUGGUGCAUUGUAUUGAGGUAGAUCACCAAGGUCAAUUGAUAUUUCGAAUUCAGGAAAUCCAACUACGUCAAACGGUUCUUGGACAAUAUUAGUAUCCCGGAGUGUUUCUUCACCAAUUUCUAUCGAAGAUGAUAACUGUUGGUCAGCGACGUUAUUGUAAUUGUCAUCAUGAUCUUGUUCUGGAAUAUCAUAUAGCCCUCUUCGAUCAAUCUUUUGAACAACUUUCCAACCAUUGCCAGCUUUAGGGUCGUCUAGAUAGAAUAUUUGUUUCGCCAUUGUUGCCAAAAUGUAUGGGUCUUCAUCGUACCAAUGUCUCAUAGUGUUUACUGAUAGUAAACCAUGGUCUCGCUUAACACUCGUUCGGUUAUGUGGGUUUGUAUCAAACCAAAGACACUUAAACAGUAUCACUUGACACCUGUCUUUGUAAAGCAAUUGUACUACACUAGUUAGUUUGCCAUAAAAAAUCAAUGUCUUCACUGUCACCCCGCACCCGGGGACAUGGACACCACUAUUUUGAGUAGACAACUUGUCAUCACGUGUUGCCCCCAAGAACUUGAUCCUGUUGACAUGACAACCUGAGAACAAUUCAACGUGAAGCGGUCCUCUCGCCAAGUUAUAUAAUUCUCCAUCGUAAGAGGGUGAAUUCAAUUCCUUCAAUUUGUUCAUCUAAUAUAACAUAUACAAAAAGUUAACUUGUUAGUAUAACCAAAUUUAAAGACGGGCAUGAACAAGUUGGAAAAUAUGCUCAAUUCAAACCACAUACAACUUACAUGUGCGUGAAACCACGAAGGAAACAAGUCACGGUGCUUCUUGGCAUAUAAAUGUGAAGGAUGUUCCGGCUUCAUCAAUUGUUCAUGCUCUUCAAGGUAUGGCAAAGCCUCGUCACAAUUGUUGAGUAUGAACCAAUGCGCUACCUCCAUGUCUUUUUUGGUAAACAAUUCGUCUUUUACAUGAUCGCCGAAUGGUCGCGCAAUUUGGGCAAAAACAGACAGUUUCUCUUUUCUGACACCACCGUCAUUAUUGCUUUGAGAACGAUUGAAAGCUGUCUCAACAUCUUCAAGAUACAUUGCACAAAAAGUAAGUGACUCAUAUGCGACCCAUGCCUCCACAAGUGAUCCUUCGGGCUUUGCCUUGUUUCGAACAGACUUUUUCAACUCACCAAGAUAUCUGCACAAAUAAAAGGUAUGCUACAAAUUAUUCAAAGCGUUCGUUGAUCAUGAAUAUGUUAUAUAUAUAUAUAUAGACGCUUAAUUAAGUACUUUUCUAUUGGAUACAUCCAUCGACAGUUCACUGGUCCGACAAGCAAUGCCUUAUCUGGCAAGUGAAUCAUCACGUGAAUCAUACUUGUAAAAAACACUGGGGGCAAUAUCUGUUCGAACUUGCAUAAGAUGUUCACAAUGUCGUCCUGCAAUUGUUUAACAUCUGACUUCCGCAAACACCUUGCAGUCAACUGCGAAAAAAAUCUCGACAACAACACGAUUGGUUUCACCACAUCAAGAGGCAAUAAGUGUCGAAUACCAACUGGAAGAAGGCGUUGGAGUAUCACAUGACAGUCAUGACUCUUCAUGUUUUGAAAUUUACACCCAUUCACGUUCACACAACGCGAGAUAUUGGAAGCAUACCCAUCUGGAAACUUUACAGAAGAAAUAAAGUUGAAAAACUCUUUCUUCCCAUUCGGCUUAACUGUAAAAAAAGGAUGGCCUUUCUUCAACGUACCACCGACAUUCUUCAUCCACAAAGAUGACCUAACGCCCAUUCGUUCCAAAUCGAGGCGAGCUUCGAUCGUGUCUUUUGGUUUUCUUUCAAUGUCUAGAAUUGUCCCGACCAAAGUGUCAAACACAUUUUUCUCAAUAUGCAUAACAUCGAGGUUGUGUCUCAAUUUUAACUUUGACCAGUAUGGAAGCUCAAAUAACAUACUUUUGUGCGUCCAGUUCAGAUGUGUAGUUGGUCUGGGGUUACUGACCCCUUUGCCGAAAUGACCAAAUUCCAAACGGUUUAACUGAUCCAAAAUCUCAUCUCCGGACCAUUCUCUUGGUCUUAGCCGAGUCUCUUUUGUGCCGUCGAAGGCUUUAUCGUUCUGACGCCACUCGUUGUCCCAAGGGAGCCAUCUACGAUGACCAAGAUAACAAACUUUUCUUGCAUGCCAAGAUGAUGUUACGUUCUCCUUGCAUAUUGGACAUGCCAAAUAACCCUUAGUCAUCCACCCAGAAACCAUUGCAUAUGCAGGAAAAUCGUUUAUUGUCCACAUCACUGCCGCUCGCAUGGUGAACAUCUACCCAGUAUAUUUAUCGUAUGUACGAACACUGUUUUCCCAUAAAUCUUUUAGCUCAUCAACCAACGGCCGCAAAUAAACAUCAAUGGACUUUCCUGGAUCUUCGUUAAUUAAUAGAGUCAACAUCAUGUAUUCUUUUUUCAUGCACUUCCAAGGUAGCAAAUUAUAAGGAAACACGACGACCGGCCAAGUGCUGUGCUUUAGGUUUAACACCCCGAACGGAUUAAAUCCAUCGGUGGCAAGUCCCAAUCUGACGUUGCGCGGGUCAGCUGCAAAAUCAGGGUACAUCCGAUCGAAUUCUUUCCAUGCCUCUCCAUCUGCAGGAUGCCUCAUAACAUCGUCAUUUACCUGUCCUUCUUUUUGCCAUUUCAUGUCGGUUGCGGUAUGCAUUGACAUGUACAAUCGUUGCAGUCUAGGCUUCAAUGGAAGAUAGCACAUUACUUUUUGUGGAAUCUUGGUGUUUCUAUUCUGUGAUGUCAUUUUAAACCUCUGCUCAUUGCAGACAGGGCAUUUAUCCAACGCUUUGUUCUCCUUAUAGAACAAUAUACAAUUAUUUACACAUGCGUGAAUUUUUUCAAAAAUUGGAAUUGGAGAUAUAACUAAUUAAACUAUAUGAAAUUGGAUGCCAUUGAAAAUCUACACCGUUGCUGGCAUUCAUUCAUUUUAUUCAAAAAUUGGAAUUAAGUACAAUUGAAGCAAAUUAUGAGACAGAUUAGGACAUGAAAACUAUUGUCUUGUCACCUUAUUCCUCCGGUCAGGGCCCUAUCCCAUUCAAGAAUGCACAGUUAUGUGCCGUAAUUUACGAUUCCAAUGGAUUAAAUUUCGACGUGGGCUAAUAUCGGCAGCAUCUCCUUACAGUUCUUCAAGUGCACGUCGUAGAUACAUAAUAUCCACCGUGUACUCAAAGAACAUUAGGAAAUGUUACCAAAAUUUCCACUAUCGAAACCUAAUCCGUGGAGUGCAAACUACAACACAUAACUAGGGCAUUCCCAAACUGUCCAAAAAAUGGGACAAUUCAAGAAUUAAUUGGACCGCAGUCAUGCUUUUGCAUCCAUGCACGAAAUCCAACUAAUUCUCAAACAGGAAACUAAGCUUUUCCUGAGAAAAGGGUACGAAGUUAAGUAGUAUUAACUUCGUACAACACAAAACAAUUUUGUAGGUGAUGUACAAAAAUAUGUGCAUACAAAUAAACUAAAUCACAAUAAUUACUAAAACUAACUAAAAUAGAUAAAAUUAAUAAAAAUUAAUUUAGUGAAGAAAAUAAAGUGAUUUAUGUACACUGUGACAUCUCAAAUGUAGUUAAAUUUCUCUUAGACUUCAUUUUAAUAUAAAGUGAUUUAUGCACCCUUUAUUUCACUUUACGCAUCUAUCUCUUAAUUUAGUCCUUAGUUCUCCUUAGUUCUCCUUAGUUCUCCUUUAUUAGUUCUCCUCUUAUAUGAGAUACAAUAGCCAUGCCUCUGUCAUCACCAAUCAGAGUAAAUAAUGACAGUGAAAAAGUUAAUUACAAAAGGCAGUAACAAGUGAAAAGAAACAAACUAAUACCAUAAGAACAAACAGAACCAAUUACAAAGUCCUAAUCAAAUUGUUUCCUAGUUUAAUUUUUGUUAAGAGUUUUUAACCGGUUUUAUCUGUGCAGAUAUUCCUAAUUUGAUGAUCAACUGCAAGAGGGAAGUAAAAAACAGAUGUGCUCAGUGGCUGUUGAAUGAUUAAAGAGUAAGACGAAUAUCUGCAAUCGUUUGAAAAACGGCUUGGAUAAGAAACAGAUUAGUCUUAAACAUGCACUUACUAUUUUCCUAACAGUAAAGGUUUUGCACGAUUCUAAUCUCAAAUUGUGAAGAUUGGAUAAUAGUGUGAGUUAUAGGAUACAAUGGUCGACAAACAAUGUUUAUCCCCUGAUUCUUUAUGGUUUCAAUUGAUUCCUUGUAUCCACUCAAUUCGAAUUCAUAAAACUAAUGUUUUUGGUCUUUCUAUUAAUUCAACGUUAUUGUAAUAUAUCCAAAUCCUUUCUUUUAAAUCAUUCCAUCCACAUAAGCUCGAAUCCAUGGAAAACAUUAAUAUCCUUCAUUAAGUAUACCUUAUCAGGGUUUAGUAGAACUUUGAUGCCAGGAACACCUUUCUCCAAACCAUUUUUGACCUGAUCAGCUCUUACCUUGAAUGACUUGCAUUGCUUGCUAGAGAAAAGAGCCAAAUCAGUCAAUAAGGAUAAUAAAAGAACUGCAAGUACACAAAGAUCUUGCUAUUGCAGGGGGAAUGGGGAAGGAAAACUUACACAAUAAAAACCAAGGACUAAACGCUUAAGAAACGUACCCUUUUUCAAUGAAUCAUAACUCAAGGUUCAUGGCAUUCAUAUAAUCAGUGAAGAAAGCAAAGCUUGUAUCUUUACCUGAGUCGAAGUCUCCUGAAACAAUACCCUCUUUCAAUGAAUCAUACGCAACAUUCUGCAAAACCAAAUUACUUCUAAACUUCAAACCAUAAAGUAAUGCCUUAAGGAAAAUUAAAGUUUCAAGCUUCCAUUUGGCUGGCAACUUUAAACAGAGUUAAUAGAGCUAAAUAAAUACCUGGCCGAAAUGAAGAAAGCUGUGAUUGUAGAGAUUGUAAGUGACAUUUCCAAAUUUAACAGCACGAGAGAACUCGGGAGGCACCGGCUCACUUGAAACAAAUGUCACCUAAAAUAAAAUUGCACUGAACAUUAUCAGACAACCAAAAAUUAAAAACUUCAAAUUGCUAACUGCUUGAACCAUGCACAACUCUCCCAACUCUUUUCUCUGUUAUUUUUUUCAGUAAGUUAGAAAAAACACCUCAAGAGUUUAACUAGAGUUAAAAAACAACUCAGCAAGCCACUUUUCGUUUUCUAACUAAUUCUUACUUGCGAAAUUCCCUUGUUGUUAUUCACCCAUUCAUCGUCAGCCGGAUUUUCCUCUAAAAGCAUUGUACUUGAAGCAUUUUUCUCUAAAAUGUACUAUUAUCAAGGACUAUUAAGUGAAAAGACCUAAACUUUUUAGUGCUUGUGGAUGAAGAGAUACCUAAUCAUAUUUCCCAAUACAACACCAAUUCCCGAUAACAGAUAGAAGUCACCUAACCUGAGCAGAAGCUCCACCAAGUUCAAUUAUCCCAGUUGUCUGCAUUGGAUCACCACCCAGAGUCCCAAGUGCGUGGUUUGCAACAACCCAAGCAUAUAAUCCUUCAUCAGAUCCUACAUCAACCAGAAUUUUCAGCAAUACGAAUUUGAAGACUAACUCCGAAAGUAAAAAUCUACGAACUUGAAGUUAACAUAAAACUAACUAAGAACAUCAUUGCAAACAAUCUUAUAAAAAAAGAAGAAAAGUUUGCGACUUUAACUAAUGUGGGAUUUGGGGAGAGCAAGACAUACAAAAUAAUAACACUGUUUCUAAUGAUUACAGAUUUAGGCAUUAUGGCUAUUCCUAGUAAUUCAAACUUCAAACCUGAUCUGGUAGACGGUUUUGAAGAGAGAGAUGGGCGAUGGAGGUAGCUGCUGCAACUGGGUAUGCAGUUUCUGCCUCCCAAACUGAUCAAAUGAAAAGAAAAAAAAGUUGGUGACUUUGCGCGACGCAUGCCCACCUACGUCGCGCAAAGGUGGGAAAAAGCGGUAAAUUCUUAGGGUUUGGCGCCAAAAGUUUGCGUGACGAAGGACUACGUCGCGCAAAGCCGUUUUGCGCGACGUACGUACACCUACGUCAGGAAAACGGCUUUGCGCGACGUAGUUUUAUGCAUCGCGCAAGUUUUCGUCGCGCAAACAUGUUUUUGUACUAGUAGUCACACAUUCUUCUUGCUAGUACAAGAAUGAGAAUAGUAAAGGGUUAAAAUUUGAAAACAAAAUUGGCUUUGAAAGUCCUAGUUUAAAGUCCAAGUCAUGGUCUGUAAUUUAAAAGAAAGCACGUUUCAAGUACCCAAAAGUUGUGUACGUACGUUAAAGAAUGGAUAAGGCUUGCGUUCCACCUAUGAGGAAUGAACAUAUUCUACAAAUUUUAUAUUGUCAUCGUUCGGUUUCAUAAUCUUUAUUUGAAGAUCAUCAAAACAAAAACAAUUAUUUGAAUCUGAGAUCGUUUAGUCAUUUAAAUAUAUGAACCCAAUCGACAGUGUAGACACUAAGUAAAAGAUUUAUAACGAACUAUUUUUAUUGAUACAUUUGGAUGACUAAGCAGUCUUCAAUUGGAAUAGUUUUUUGUAUAUAUGAUAUUCAAAUUAAGAUUAAGAAAUUAAUAACUGAUACUACAAAAAUACUUUAUUUAUAAAAAAAAAAAAUAUUCCUUGAGUUGAAAAGUAAGAUAAUGUACACAACAGUUCGAUGGAUCUCAUCUUAAUUUGAAAUGAUCAAUCCUUGAGUUACCCUUGAGUUUUCCAGCAAAAGAAAAUGUUUUAUGUAUUCGGAAACAAAGAGUCAUUUAUUUGCAUGUUUAUAUUAUGUCUGUCCAACUGUUGAAGGGCCUAACUUUUGAAGUUGAAUAUGGACGAUUAGCUACAGAGACUUAUUCAAACUAUAGAAAACUAUUUGACACCACAAAAAAGUAGAAAUUUAUGACUAGAAUUCUUUACGUAAGUACAUAAUCGAUAAAGAUGAAGAAUUUAAUCUUGAUCUUUUACUUCUUGUUAGAGUUUUAAUGUUGAAUCCGUGAACCCAGUGGUUUUGUGAAAUUGUUUUUCCACGCAAAUUAAGAAGGCAUCGAAAUAGCUAGGUUCUCAAAUUGGCUAUUUCGCUCCUAAAGAUUGUGAAAGGAUACCAUUGGGGUGGCUUCUUCUUGGUAGUACAAGAAAUUGAUUAGCUGUUUCAAAAAACUGGUUUUUUAUUAGCUUACAUCUAUUUAUUUUGAUUUAAUAUUUUUUUACAAUUCAAAAACACAAAAUUUUGACCCCCCCCCUCUAAUUUUUCUAAUUUUUUUUUCUUUAUUUGAAUUUUUGGGACUUAUAUUGAAUUUUAAUGUGUCUCACAACCUGAAGGGAUUGGGAGGGAGGGUCAUUUCAUUUUUGGAUAUAGAACGAAUAGGUUCAGGAGAUGAGAGAAUUAAGGAUACGCACCAGAAAGACUAUCCAAUGCAUAAUGAUGUGCCAAAAAAUAGAACAUUUUUGUUACCCAACCAACCUUUAGGAGAAGCAAAUGCGACACGUAGACUAAUAGUAAAAUUAAAGAAGUAGCAUUUAAUGUAAAAAUAGCCAAUAGGAAAGCAAUAGUCAUGUUUCUAAUCCUCCAAUCUACCAACAAAAGAAUUAUACCAUUUGAUCCCUUUAUCAACCAAAAAAUUGUACACCUUAUGUACUACUUUGGGUAACCCUCUCAACAACUAAGAGAUCCAUUCGCUGAACAAGGCGACUAGUUGAAGUACGGAUCCUCCCAAUAUUGGGAGUAUCCGUACUUCAAUUGAGCUGAUGACAAAUCAUUUCACCAUUUUAGUUGGAACUUUAGGUGGUUCUCAAAAAAAGAUAGCGAAAAAAAUUAUUCCUAAAGUUUAGACUAAAAGGAAUGUAUAAACCAAUGCUUCCAUAUAUUCGAUCGUGGUUUACAAUUAUAUCUUCCAUACCUGUUUAUUUGGGAUCGUCUCCCAGGUAAAUAAAGAACAAGAGUAAAAGAAAAGGCAGUGAUUCAAAUCUAGAUUUAUCUGGUACCCUAUCUAAAAAUCACAAGAAGAAAAUAAAAAAGAAAAGUAACAAGUAACAAAACAUAUUGUAUCAGACUACUUGUCUUCUUGUAGUUGGAUCUCCAAGCUUUUGGAAUGCUCCGAAUUCCAGUUGAGCAUCUAAAUCUGGAUCAAUACCAGCAAAAACAUCUCGAAACAAGGUUCUAGCUCCAUGCCAAAUGGAUUUAGUUUUUGUCCCAUAAUCCCCCACUACUAUAUAUAUCGUGCAACGUGACAUUUGUCUGUAUAUAUUUUUUUAUUCAUUCGAUUUUUUUUUAAGCAUAACAUAAUAUAGCGUAUUUGUAUAAUUUAUAAUAUAAAAUAUUCUUCCUUUAAGCAUUCCUUAGCUCUGAUUUAUUGAAUUUCCUUUUAUCUAUUUCUUCAUCUUCAUCGAAAGAUAUAUCUUUCAAUGUUUAUGUUAUUUUAUAGGUUAAUAGGUUAUUUAUCAUUGUCAUAUUCCCCAAAGUUUAUGUUUUGGACUGUUUAAAUUGUUCUAGUUAACGUAGCUAUGAUCCUAUCAGUUUUGGCUCAUUAUGUAUGGAUUCGAAAGGAACAACGAGAUUUACAAAAGUAAAUGAGCACAUGGGGAUUUGGAAAAGUAUUUACGUCUAAAUAGAUAAAAUAUAGAUUUAAGAGCUUUAGGAAAAUUUGAUAUUUGUUGUUUGUAACAUACUUCGUCCAUCCCAAAGUUACCGAGCACCGGUCAACUCUGUACCUUCAAGGACCCACUGAAGAUUUGAUGUGGAGGCACUCUUGCCAAAGCACACGAGUUCCUCUCCAAUAAAAAGACCAAUCACAAAACGACACAUGUCAACAUCAGAAUAAAGCUCCUAGAUUCCCAGAUCAAUUGUGGACAGGACCCGAAAACUUUCCGCAUCUUUAAAAGGAGAUUGUUCUCUUGCAAUUAAUUUCUAAUGUCUUUAUUGUACUUAAACUCGUCAUUAGAACUCACUAAUGAUGAUUAUGCUUAAACCUAUGUAUUGUGUAAACUCUUCACUAUUAAUAAGAACUCAUAUACCCUCAUGGACGUAACCUAUCUUAGGUUGAACCACAUACAUCUUGUGUUUGCUUCCCUACCUCUAUCUUUUUACAUAUUAUCCUCACCAGGUGACCAGACCAACCUUGCGAAGGUCACAACCUUGUCACUUAACGUUGUUCCAAAGUCUAACUGAUUUUGCGUAUCAACAUUUGACACCGUUUGUGGGAACGACACUAAUUCCUACUCUCACCAGCUUUGUCAGACUGGUUUCUCUUUGAUAAGGCAUCGCUCUCCAACAUGGGGAGUGAAGGAAAACACAGCAUGCAGAAAAACACCCCUUGCAUGCCUAGUGUGAGGCCGCGAAUGAGGGAAAGGAACAAGCCUGUUCUUCAAACUAAAGUCCAAGAGGUUAGAACUCAAAAUAAAAUAGAAAAAAUGGCGAUACGGAAUGAUAUCCUCCAACAGCAGUAUGUGAAGCUCUUCGAGAUGUUUUACGAGGCUAUACAGACUCAGUCUCAAGAGUCAUUGCCCUCUUGACAGCGGAUCAACACAUAGGUACCUACGCGAAGUUUCACAUGUCUUCAACACGGGGAUUCUUAAUAAGGACUGGCCUUCUACCCAAGAUAUUGAUCAACACGAGACUUCUCUUAACCCAGCUGCUUCAAAUUGAAACAAGAUAAGUGGAAGAGGACAUCUCCUUGCAAAGGAUUGGAAUGAUCAAAACCUGGUUAUCGCGACUGUCAAGACCUCUUGAGGCAUCGUCGAGAAAAACCUAUCCAUAUAGACUCAAGGAUCAUUGACCCAAAGGUCAUCGAAGGAAUCAGUCCGUUACCAUAACCAAGGUCAACUACUAACCUAAGGAAGAAACGACAAGACUUAGAUGGACAAGAAGGUGUUUGAGUCUCGAGGAACUUCCAACCGGAAUUUCCUUGAAGCAAGUAUGGUAAUCCAAAAAAAAGUCACAUACUCUUGACUAAACUUCUCCACUUCCAAGAAAUGAUGGAAACUUACGAAUGAGGGUUCCAAUAGUCCCUGACUCCAUUCAAGACCCCAUUAUCCUGCAGUUUUUUGAGGAAGUGAACAGACUAAAGGCCAAACGCCAUGCCAAGGUACCUGACUGGAAUUAGCCGAAGCCAGGCCCUCUGACAAGAAGGAUCUUUGGCACCCCUCUACAAGGAGAAACAAAAUAGACGAUUGGUUUACUAUCAUAAAUUUUGGGGGGGGGGGGGGGGGGAAGAUCCAAUUGAGCAUAUCCAUCUCUUUGAAUCCACCAUGGUAUACCGAGGCAUAGUAAUGAAGAACGAUGUCUCAUUUUUCCCUUCAUUCUAUCUGUGGGAGCUCUCAAUUAGUAUUGUUGUCUUCAACCUGAUACAAUAGAUUAUUUCACCAAGCUUAAGAGACUUUUUGUGGUGCAACGCAUCUUCUAGGCUGAUUGCUUACACUCCGCUAAACAUUUAUACACCAUUCGUCAGAAGUCAAACUAGUCAUUAUGUGAAUAUGCCCGUAGCUUCAGCCACAAGUAUUCUCUUGCGUUGUGGUAGAUUAUAAAACAACAAUAAGUGUCAACAUACACUUUUUCCAUUCGACAUGUGUUACAAUGUGCCUCGACAACUCGUCAUUAUUCUCACCCACUUGGUUAUGAAGGAACUCAUAUUCGUAUCACUAACCAAGUGAUAAUUUUUUCCUUUGGCAACUUACCACCCUUUCCACCAACUAGGUAAUGAAAGAACUCACCUUUGUCCACUAACUAGGUGAUGGAAAGUACAACCAGUACUCCACUCUUUUCACUAACCGGGUAAUAAAGGAACUCACCUUGUAUCACCUUGCAGUAUGAAGCGUUAUUAAGAUCUCCUUCAACUGUGCCAGAAUGUCAAACAUUGUAGUAUAUACAAGGAGACCGAAGACUCUCAUCAACUAUAAAAGGAGAUCGUUCUCGUACAAUUAAUUCCUAAUAUCAUUAUUGUGCUUAAACUCGUCAUUAGGACUCACUAAUGAUGAUUAUGCUUAAACUUAUGUCUUGUGUAAAAUCUUCAUUAUUAAUGAAGACUCUUCUACCCUCGUGGACGUAACCCAAUUCAAGGUGAACCACAUACAUCUUGUGUUGCUUUCCUACCUCUAUCUAUUUAAUUAUGAUCCUCAACAGGUGACCGGAGCAACCUUGUGAAGGUUACAAACUUGGCACUUUACGUUGUUCGAAUGUCUCACUGAUUUUGUGCAUCAACAUUUGUAAAUAAUUUGCUACAAGCAAUUGAGCCUGCGCGAUUUGUUUUAAAACUGUGUUAAACAGGUGGAAUAUAUUAAAAUCCAUUAGAAUCCUUCUGCUUAACAAAGAAUAAAAAAAAUAGAUGUUUGUAGUAUAUAGCAAAAGUUUUAAAACUCAUUAAUUCUUCUUUCUACGUAAAUUUGACAAAUACGUACAAUCCAAUCUUCAACCAAUUCAAGCGUAUACUUUUUCUUUUGUUGUAUCAAAUUUGUCAUGUCACCCAAGGUCAAAUGGAAAGCCAGCUAACUGAAAACAUUUGUGUUAAGUUGUGCAAAAAGUUGAGUACGCUUUAAUUGAAAACAUAACCACUAAUACAAUUAGGCAAGAAGGGGAAGGAGAUAAUCAUGAGGAGCUAGAAAUAUUUUGACUUCAACAAGAAGAUAUUGACAAGGUUUUACAUACGUACUAGCAAGCUCCAAGUUGUGGUAUCAACUCCAAAAACAAAAAUCGUACUUGGGCAACAUCCAAAAAAACAUGAGUAAAGAAUUUUUGAAGUCUUUUUUCUUCAAUGACUCGGGAAAUAUAAGACGGCUCCUUCGGUAAUCCUCAUCAAUAAGAGACUUGGGGGACUCCCAUUAUAUGCUAAUACACUUUAGUACUCAAACGUUUCAUGAGUACUCACCAAUUUGGGUUCUACAAGUCCCCAACCGAGAAACUUUCCUCACUCGUGAACUUGGGGGACCACUGUUUGUUCCAUACUUCACCACCCCCAAAACUACUUAGCACCAAUCAACUUCAUACUUUCAAGGACCCACUAAAGAGUUCAUGUGGAGGCACCCUGGGCGAAGCACACGAGUUUUUCUCCAAUCAAGAGACCAAUCACAACACGACACGUGUCAACCUAAAAAUAUAACUCCUAAAGUCCCACAUCAACCAGGGACGGGAGCCAAAGACCCUCAUCAACUAUACAAGGAGACCGUUCUUGUACAAUUAAUUCCUAAUGUCAUUAUUGUGAUUAAACUCGUCAUUAGAACUCACUAAUGAUGAUUAUGCUUAAACUUAUGUCUUGUGUAAAAUCUUCACUAUUAAUGAGGACUCCUCUACCCUCGUGGAUGUAGCCAAAGUUAAGUUGAACCACGUACAUCUUGUGUUGCUUCCCUACCUCUAUCUCUUUACAUAUUAUCCUUACUAGGUGAUGCAGCAAACUUGAGAUGGUUACAAACUUCACACUUUACGUCGUUCCAAAGUCUCAAUGAUUUUGUGCAUCAACUUUUGUAAAUAGUUUCUUACAAGCAAUUGAGCCCGCGCGAUGCCACGAGUUUUAAAACUAUGUUAAACAGGUGGAAUAUAUUAAAAUCUAUUAGCAUCCUUAUGUUCAACAAAGAAUAAAAAAAUAGACGUUUGUAAUAAAUAGCAAAAGUUUUGAAACUCUUUAGUAAUUCUAAGUAAAUUUGACAAAUACGUACAAUCCAAUCUUUGACCAAUUCAAGCGUAUACUUUUUUUUUGCUUCAAUCAAAUUUGUCAUGUCACCCAAGGUCAUAUGCAAAGUCAGCUAACUGAAAACAUUUGGGUUAAGUUGUGCAGAAAGUUGAGUACGCUUUAAUUGAAAAAAAAAUCACUAAUACAAUUAGGCAAGAAGGAGAAGGAGAUAAUCUUGAGGAGCUAGAAAUAUUUUGACUUCAACAAGAAGAUAUUGACAAGGUUUUACAUAUGUACCCGUAAGCUCCAAGUUGUGGUAUCAACUCCGAAAAAAAAAAAUGGUCCCGAAUAACAGUAUAGAAAUGUUUUAGUCCAUCUUAAACUUUUUUUUUUGUGGCCUUGCUUAUUAUUGUACUUAUUAACAAUUACUACUAUGUCGAGGCGAGUUUCUUUACAACAGGACCAAGAAAAAUAAUAACUUAUUACAAUGUGGUAUUUAUUCCUGAACCCCAACUGGGACCGAAACUGUUUAUGACUAUAAAUAAGUUAUUCCUUUAUAUAGAGAUGUUUUACUGUAGCAUUCACAUGUCUUAUUAUUGAAUUAUUGAAUCUCAAAGAAUACUUACAUUAUUGAAAGGAAAUACAAAUGCAAAAGGAAUUGAAAUACAAAUACAUAAAAAGGAAAAUUAUCCACUUAAAUGUGUUUAUAAUCAACAAUAAAUUUCUUUUAAUUUCUUCAAUUCUUCUUAAGCAAAUUUUUGAACCAAUGUGCUGAGAGUUUUGGGUGUCUUUUCAGCCCAUCAUUAUAAUCCACGUAGUUUUAAACCAAAUCGGACGGUGUAUCCAGAAUUCCAUUCAAAGUCGUCCAACAAUGUCCAUGGAAAGUAUCCCUUCACUUUCGCACCAUUUCUGCACACACACACAUACACCAAUGUUCAAAUGGAUUAGGUCAAUAUAAUGAUUAAAUAACAAUAACUUAAGAAGGCUAGGCAGUAUAUAACCUUAAUUAAUUUGUUAAUAACUACUUACUUGAUCGCCGCUUGAAGGUAACAUAGGUGACGGUAGUGGUAGUCAAUUCUACCGGUAUCAAAGAAGAGCCUCUUCAAUUGAUAGUUCUGGAUUAUUCAACUCUGAUACACCUACGUACAUAUAUUAUUGCACAAAAAAUUAAAAUUAAGUUUUUUCCUCUAAAAAUAUAAAAAAAACAUGCAGUUCCAGUUUAACGCCAUUAUAAAUAUGUGAAACUUUUGCAAUUAAUCAAGGCUUAAAAGUACGAAUUACAUACCAUUCUCAGUAAUAUAAAUGAGUGGAUCAUUAUAUUUUUCCUUUGUGUAGAGCACAAGAUCGUGAAUUCCUUUUGGAUAUACAUAUAACCAAUCUAAAGCAGUCUGCAACACCAUUUCAAGAUAAUACGUAAAUGUUGGGGAAAAAAGCUAAUCCUCCAAAUGCAAAUAGCUCAAAAUGAUAAAUUUGAUGUAUACCUGUGGACCAAUAAGUACUACUCCAUUAAGCUCAGCUGCCACAAUAUUUACAAACAUUAGAAUACAAUUGGUGUAAAUAUUAGAAUAUAAUUAAUGUAAUUAAGAGGUUAAACUAGGUCAAGAAGAAACGAGAACUGAAGCUAUUCAAAGUAAGUUUCCUUUGGCACUCACUUGUAAGAUCAGCUUGAGGAUCUGUUACGAAGCUUGCCUGUAGUGAAUUGUUCUUAGGUGUACUAGUUGCGUAUCUAGCAGUAUAAUAAUUUAUUCCAAGAAAAUCAAAUGAUGAUCCGUUUAGCAACUUGGAUUGUUCUUUUGUGAAUUUUGGCAAUCUUUUUCCAACAAUUGAUCGCAUGCUGUGUGGAUAGUCACCACUUGUUAAAGGGUCCAAAAACCUACAAAACAAGAAAAUUCCAAAUAUUAGCCUAAUUAUAGCAUUAUAGAUAAAUAGUACUGCUAGCUAGUAGUAGUAAUGUAGUAUCAAAGUAUAAGUCAUAAGUAUACAUGAUGUAAUUGGGUUUAUGUAUAAUUUAAUAAGACACUUGCCAUCCAAACAUAAAAUCCAAAGAUCGUAAGGCAGCAUCUUUAUCUUGCUUUGACUCCGAAGCAGGCUCAAACCAGUAUGACACCAAUGUUAUCCCUAUCAAGCCUUUCUGAGAUGCCUACACAAAAAUAUGAAUUUUGGUUGAAUAAAUAGGAGUUAUAGAAAAAGAUACAACCUUUAGAUUAUCUUACUACUGAGAGUAUUCCCUCUUGUAUUACAACUCAAUAAUAAAGAUUCAUAUAGAAUUCUCGAUUAGGAGCCAAUAAUCUAACCCCAAAAAAAAAAUAAAAAAAAAUAAAAAAACAGUUAUUGAACCUGAUAUCUAUUCUUGUACAAUUCUACAGCUGCUCCAUGAGCAAGAAGAAUGUGGUGUGUCACCAAGUAUGGUUCAAUGGCUGAAUCUCCACCGGUGCAGUUUAGGUUUUGCCAAGAAGAGCAGCGUCCCGGUGCUAGAGUCCCAACAGCAUAACCCAUGCUACUAAAAGUAUAUGGCUCAUUUACCGUGAACCAGUGCUUGACACGAUCACCAAAUUCCUUAUAACAAAGUUCUGCAUAGUCUUUAAAAUGAUCGCUGCAGAUACAAAUUUAUGUUAAGUAUAUCAGUACGUAUUUUAUCAAAUUAUCAACGAGAAAAUAAAUUUUGUUCACUUACACAAUACGAGGGCUUAAGAAACCACCAUAUUCAUCUUCUAAAGCUUGGGGAACAUCCCAAUGAAAGAGUGUUACAAACGGCUUUAAACCUAUAAUACAUGAUCAGUAAAAUCAAAUUAAAAGUCUGAUUGAAUGAUGUUCUAAAAAUUCAUGUAAUAAUUGUUUAAGGUAGGAUAAUUAACCAUUGCGUAGGAGUUCAUUGAUGAGAUUGUUGUAAUAAUCAAUUCCUUUCCUGUUAACGCCACCACUUAACGUUCCAUCUAAUUAGAACAAAAAUAACAAGAAAAAAAAGGGUUACCCAGUAGAUAACUCGAUCACAUUACUUUAGUUUAAAUAGUAUAUAAAAGAGAAUAAUUUUUCUUGUAGGAAAAAUAAUUCUUAUGCACAAUAUUGUCAUUGGUCCCAACCAAAAAUGAGGACGUCGAGCAACUUACUUGGUAAUAAUCUGGACCAUGAAAUAGAUAAUCUGUAAGCAUCCAAAUUCAUAUCCUUCAUAAUCCCCACAUCUUCCUAGAAUGACAAAAGUUUAAAAUUAAAUAUUGAGGAUCUCAUUAUAUAUUGUUCUUUUUUUUUUUUUUUUUUUGUAAAGGCUCCAAUUUAUAAUGUUAACAUGUGCCCUUCAAGUAUAAAGGGUCGAGAGACAAAGUUAUGAGGUUUUAGACCUUAUAGCGGUGAUAUUGAUCUAUAGCGACAUCUCCGUUACUGCCAUCAUCGAUUUUUUCUGCAAUUAUUAAAAAACAUAAUGGUGAAAUCCAUAUCAUGUGCAAAGUACUUUAUAUGCGUGCGCACUGAUGAAGUAUAUACAUAUAUUGUACAUAUCACAUGACCACGUACUGUUGGUCUCCCAACAAAGUGCAUGGCUGUUAGAGAGGUUGGAGUUUACUUGUCCUCACGAAGAAAAGAAUGAGGUGCUAUUUCUACUCCUUUGAAAUGAAGUAGCAAAAGUUUUCAUAUUACCAAUUGAUUAAAUCACAGACCUGGAUGUUUGUGGGUGAAGGUAUCCCAUAUGCUUGGUCCUCUUCCAUCUUCUUUUACUGCACCUUCAUACUGAAAUACACACACAUGCAUAUACGUAAGAGUACUACUACACACGCAAGGAAGAUGACAACAUUAUAAUUCAUGCAUGGAUGCUAGCUGCAUGUAUAAAAUACACCAAAAAUGUGGUAAAUAAAGACAGAAGAUAUAUAUAUACUGACCUGGUAAGAUGCAGAACCUGUGCCAAAUAUGAACCCUGGUUCAAAACUGCUGCGAUUGAGAAAUUCGCAAUGAACAGGUGGAUCUGUAUUAGUUGCUUUGCCAUUUGUCAAUGCAAAGCCAAUGAGUAGCAGCACACCAAAGAGCAAAGAUCGUGAAUAUUUCAUUGCCAUAACUUGGGAGUUUUGAUAUCGAUCGAGAUAAUUAAGUUAUCUCCUCCGGGAAUAUUGCAUGGGGUUUAUAUAGAGAAAGGGAGGAAAGGGAUAUGGUGUCUACGUACUAGCUCAUGAGAAUAAUAAAGGGUUAAAAUUUGUAAACAAAAUUGGCUUUGAAAGUCCUAGUUUAAAGACCAAGUCAAGGUAUAUUUCAAAAAAAAACAAAAGACCAAGUCAUGGUGUGUAGUUUAAAAGAAAGCACGUUUCAUGUACCCAAAAGUUGCGUAUUACGUACGUUAAAAAGAAUGGAUGAUCCUUGCGUUCCACCUAUGAGGAAUGAACAUAUUCUACAAAUUUUAUAUUGUGAUCGUUUCAGUUUCUUAAUCUUUAUUUCAAAAUCAUCAAAACAAAAACAAUUAUUUGAAUCUGAGAUCGUUUAGUCAUUUAAAUAUAUGAACCCAAUUGACAGUGUCGACACUAAGUAAAAGAUUUUAUAACGAACUAUUCAUUUUUAUUGAUACAUUUGGAUGACUAAAACAGUCUUCAAUUUGGAAUAGUUUUUUGUAUAUAUGAUAUUCAAAUUAAGAUUAAGAAAUUAAUAACUGAUACUACAAAAAUACACUUUAUUUAUUAAAAAAAAAUAUUCCUUGAGUUGAAAAGUAAGAUAAUGUACACAACAGUUCGAUCGAUCUCAUCUUAAUUUGAAAUGAUCAAUCCUUGAGUUACCCUUGAGUUUUCCAGCAAAAGAAAAUGUUUUUCUGUAUUCGGAAACAAAGAGUCAUUUAUCUGCAUGUUUAUAUUAUGUCUGUCCAACUGUUGAAGGGCAUAACUUUUGAAGUUGAAUAUGGACGAUUAGCUACAGAGACUUAUUCAAACUAUAGAAAACUAUUUGACACCAAACAAAAAAGUAGAAAUUUAUGACCAGAAUUCUUUACGUAAGUACAUAAUCGAUAAAGAUGAAGAAUUUAAUCUUGAUCUUUUACUUCUUGUUAGAGUUUUAAUGUUGAAUCCGUGAACCCAGUGGUUUUGUGAAAUUGUUUUUCCACGCAAAUUAAGAAGGCAUCGAAAUAGCUAGGUUCUCAAAUUGGCUAUUUCGCUCCUAAAGAUUGUGAAAGGAUACCAUUGGGGUGGCUUCUUCUUGGUAGUACAAGAAAUUGAUUAGCUGUUUCAAGAAAACAGGUUUUUUAUUAGCUUACAUCUAUUUAUUUUGAUUUAAUAUUUUUUUACAAUUCAAAAACACAAAAAUUUUGACCCCCCCUCUAAUUUUUCUAAUUUUUUUCUUUAUUUGAAUUUUUGGGACUUAUAUUGAAUUUUAAUGUGUAUCACAACCUGAAGGGAUUGGGAGGGAGGGUCAUUUCAUUUUUGGAUAUAGAACGAAUAGGUUCAGGAGAUGAGAGAAUUAAGGAUACGCACCAGAAAGACUAAUCCAAUGCAUAAUGAUGUGCCGAAAAAUAGAACAUUUUUGUUACCCCGACCAACCCUUAGGAGAAGCAAAUGCGACACGUAGACUAAUCAGUAAAAUUAAAGAAGUAGCAUUUAAUGCAAAAAUAGCCAAUAGGAAAGCAAUAGUCAUGUUUCUAAUCCUCCAAUCUACCAACAAAAGAAUUAUACCAUUUGAUCCCUUUAUCAACCAAAAAAUUGUACGCCUUAUAUACUGCUUUUGGGUAACCCUUCUCAACAACUAAGAGAUCCAUUCGCUGAACAAGGGGACUAGUUGAAGUACGGAUCCUCCCAAUAUUGGGAGGAUCCGUACUUCAAUUGAGCUAAUGACAAAUCAUUUCACCAUUUUAGUUGGAACUUUAGGCGGUUCUCGAAAAAAGAUAGCGAAAAAAAAUUAUUCCUAAGAGUUUGAGACUAAAAGGAAUGUAUAAACCAAUGCUUCCAUAGAUUCGAUCGUGGUUUACAAUUAUAGCUUCCAUACCUGUUUAUUUGGGAUCGUCUCCCGGAUAAAUAAAGAACAAGAGUCAAAGAAAAGGCAGUGAUUCAAAUCUAGAUUUAUCUGGUACCCCCCAUCUAAAAAUCACAAAAAGAAAAUAAAAAAGAAAAGUAACAAGUAACAAAACAUAUUGUAUCAGACUACUUGUCUUCUUGUAGUUGGAUCUCCAAGCUUUUGGAAUGCUCCGAAUUCCAGUUGAGCAUCUAAAUCUGGAUCAAUACCAGCAAAAAACAUCUCGAAACAAGGUUCUAGCUCCAUGCCAAAUGGAUUUAUUUUUUGUCCCAUAAUCCCCCACUACUAUAUAUAUCGUGCAACGUGACAUCUGUCUGUAUGUUUUUUUUAUUCAUUCGAUUUUUUUUUAAGCAUAACAUAAUAUAGCGUAUUUGUAUAAUUUAUAAUAUAAAAUAUUCUUCCUUUAAGCAUUCC
Molecule: long non-coding RNA, 73576 nt
Filed under: Malus domestica (apple)
Lineage: Eukaryota; Viridiplantae; Streptophyta; Magnoliopsida; Rosales; Rosaceae
Description: long non-coding RNA (MDOM_LNC011623)
Source: RNAcentral